UCUCUCUCUUCCUCUGUUGCAGAUGGUUCUGGCAGUCCAAAACCACGUCAUGAGACCGUGGUUUCGACCCCAGAUCCUCCCUGCACCCCCACGCGCGCCACGGUGAGUCACCGGUGCUCCCGAAUCGGCUCACCGUCGCGAGCCUAUUUAUAGCCCCCCUUCGCUCCAGCACCCCUCAUACAGCUUCACCACGACCACUAGCACCUCCCUAGCCACCCAAGCAAGCCAGCAAAGCCCCGGUGCUCGAGAUCGACCGAGGCCCCUCCGCCUCGGAGCUCCGGUCGAUCUCCGGCUACACGUCAGCUCCUGUGUUCCUCAACCCAACAAACUGACCCCCUCGACCCCAGGAAGCUUUCCUGAAACUUCCCUGAGCAUUUCCGUGCCCCUAGAUACCUCCUCGACCACCUCCCCAAACUCCUCCACCGCGGCCUUCUCGUCGCCGGCGAACCCUUGCCUCUCUGUCGUUGUUCCGACCACCAGUAGGUAGGCGGUGUCAUGUCGGCCCCAUUUCUAUCCUCGUUGGGUCUUGAGAACGUCGGCAGCCUCGCCGGCGUGAUCCUCCUCCUCUCUGGACAGAGGUAGGAGACAACCCCGAUAGGUGUGCCCCACCUGUCGGUGGCCCAGCUUCCUCCCCCUCGCUGCCCGCAGCCGCUGACCACAGGGCCCCGCACGUCAGGUUCAAACCUGAUGGCGCACGCGCUUGGGCAGGCUGUCGGCUCGCCUUGGGUCGGCCCGGUUCCAGGCCGAGCCAGGCGAGGGACUUAGCUCAUUUUUCUUUAUUUUUAAAAAUCUGAUUUCAAAGAUUUUAAUAAAAAUAUUUAACCAGUGCAAAAAUAUAUUGUUUCCACUGUUAUUCUUCUAAAAAUAUGUAGUAUUUAAUAAGACCUUGAGAUGAAUUUUUCAACAACUACUCUGUUUUACAAUAAUAAAAAAGACUAAAUUGGAAUAGUUAUCUUCUGUUUGGUUGAUUUUAAAAAUGUUCCUUCAUUGGAAACAGAGGCAAAUAUUUUCAAAAUAACAACUUAGAUUUAUCAGUAAUAAAGAACAUUUUUAAAAUGACUUUGUGAUCUGUUUUUGAGUGAGCUAUUUCUUAUUUAUUCUUUUGACGAUAAUAGAAAAUCCGUGUGACGAGGGAAUCGGAGCGGAAGACCUCGAAGACCCCGGAUACCCAGCUGAUGAAGGCAAGCAACCCUUUGACCAUGAGUGAGCAUAUGUUAUAUUGCAUGUUAAGAUAGCAAGUAUUUCUGUUGCAUAUGAUAAUAAGUGCCGGUAAAUCACUAAGGUGAUGUUACCGAUGACUCCUCCGGAGCACAUGCAUUGAGCUUGAUCCUACCCCCUUUUUGAGGAUCAUGCUAUUAUCAUGUUGACAGGUAAUGCUAGAGUAAAUGGCAUGAGCGUGUUGUUGGUACAAAUCUAAGAUUUAUGAAAACCCCGUCGGGUGCCACUAAUGCCCUAGGGUGAUGAUGAGUUAGGUGACCACUUUUGGUGAAGUGGUGCACCGGGUAUUUCGAGUGAGUAUGGUUUCGGAAAUGGGAUUAGAUUUAUGAUGUGUCGACCAUCCCAACCUUACCAGUACGACCACGUUACCCCUUAUGGGACGGGGCUAUGUUGAUUACUCUGGUCGGUGCUAGCAAAGAGCCACAUUACUAGUGGCAGGAGUGAUGUGUGGUCACUCUCGUGAUGGGGUCAUGCAAGGUAGGACGACUAUGCCAUUUUUAUGAGUUCCAGGCACACCGUUGGUCCCCGCAUGGUUGAUACUGUCCAGAGUUGGUGCUCGUAAGAUGUACAACAUGUGGGCUGGGUACCAAUCGAGUGGACCUCUUUGUCUAGUAUUGUCAGGGGAAAGGCAUUGAUCGGGUACUUACCUCGAGUAUGUUAUAUACCGCGAGUCAUGGAUGACACGUAAGUUUCCGGGAUCUUGUGGGUCCAGCGUACUACCUCUGCAGAGUGUAAAACUAUUUGAAUAGCCGUGUCCACGGUCAAGGACAGUUGGGUGGUGCUGCUUAAACUACGUCCAGUUAUUUCCGCAUAAACCGAGUGUGUGUGAGUUGUGACAAAAGGAGUUGUUAUGAAAGUAAUGAUAUCACCAAGUUGGUGACUUGGCAUAUAGGGUGAGCCCGGAUGGUUCAGCCCUCGACAGAUAUAUUGAUAUCUAUAACCUGUUCUUCAAAAGUAAUUCUUUAACUUGAUGCAUAUUCAUGAUCAUUCCACCAAGAUGAAUUCCACCAAAGUUGCAUGUUAUUGUUAUCCUUCACUUUUUAUGUUCAUAUCAUGGGAUGUUUGCAAGUACAUUCAAAAGUACUCAUUGGCUUGCCACUGGUUAUAUUAUUUACCACACAUGGAAGGACCGGAGUUUGGAGAUGAGUACGUCUUCGGAGACGCCCCUGCGAACUAGGACGCUUCUGAGUCAGAAUGCCUGUCGGUGUAGGCUUGAUGGCAUGGGCACCCGCUUAGCCCCUAUGAUUUCCGCUAUUAGUUGUAUCAGUAUGACUUGGCCUUAGGCCCAACCUUGUGAACUUGACCAUUCGGUCAUGUGAUGUAAUAAUUCGGUACUCGCAUGUAAGACUCUUAUUAUUCAAUAUAUGUGUGUUCGGUGAGCAUUGAUCUCUGGGAUCACUGAGCACGAUCAAUCGGCGAUCUCGACUUGUAAGUCGGGGUCCCCAUAGAGCUGGUAUCAGAGCCGUCAUAACUAUAGGAAGCCUUAGGUAGCAUGGACGAUAGCCAAGACGACUAGUGCACAUAGACGUUAACCUGAGAUUUGCACCCACUAAAAACUUUCUAACCCUCUCCUCUACAUUUUGUAGAUGGCCACCGUAUCUGAGAUGCUUUUGGAGACGAGCUUUCCUCUACUUUUGAGUGAUAGCCUCAAGAAGUGUCAAGUAUGCCACACGCCAAUCUUCCUCUACCACGAGCACUGGGUCAACGCUGACACUAAGGAAUAUCACGUGGACGUGAUAGUCAAGGCUAAUGACUCGGUAUCAGUAUGAUUUGGCCUUAGGCCCAACCUUGUGAACUUGAUCAUUCGGUCAUGUGAUGUAAUAAUUCGGUACUCGAAUGUAAGACUCUUAUUAUUCAGUAUUUCUGUGUUCGGUGAGCAUUGAUCUCUGGGAUCACUGAGCACGAUCAAUCGGCGAUCUAGACUUGUAAGUCGGGGUCCCCACAACAAAUUACCCAGGUCAUCUUGAUUUUCUAGAAUUUGUGGAGUUACAGAAGUAUGGCAAUUAAAUAUAUUACUAUAGACUGUUCUGUUUUAAACAUAUUCUGCUUUUCCACGCAUAGUUUGUCUAUUUUGAUUAUGCUAUGGAUUAUAUCGGGGGGUAUAAUCCAUGGAUAAGUUAUAAUACAAUACCUUAUGCUAAAAUAAAAGUAUAAUCAAUUUAUAAUAAUAACUAAAACUGUUUAUUAUGUUGCCUAUACAAAGAGAUCUCACGAAGUUUUGUUCAGUUUUGUGUGGUUGAAGUUAUCUCGAUGGACCAAGGAAUGAGAACUGACAAGAGCCUAAGCUUGGGGAUUCCCAAGGCACCCCAAGGUAAUAUUCUAGGAAGAUUCAAGCUUCUAAGCUUGGGGAUGCCCCGCAAAGGCAUCACGUCUUUCGUCUCAAUCCAUCGAUAUGUUACUUCGAGCUAUAUUUUAUUCAUCACAUGGUAUGAGUUUUUCUUGGAGCAUCGUUGGCUUUUGUUUAUUUUUUACUUUCAGUUUUCCACAUCAUUGUUUGCUGGAUACACCUAUUUGAGAGAGAGACAACAUCAUCAUGAUUUGUUAGAAUACUCUAUGUGCUUCACUUAUAUCUUUUGAGCUUAUUAGUUGCUCUAGUACUUCACUUAUAUAUUUUUGAGCACGAUGGCGUGUAGAUUUUAUAGAAAUAAUAUGCCCUAGUUCUUCACUUAUAUUUGUUUUAGGGUAAGUAAAUAGUGAUCGUAAUUUGCAUGGGUCAUAAGACUAGAUGGAAAAUAAUGAGUGUUCAAUAAGUGAUAAUCGAAUCCAUCAUGUAGCACAUAUAGACAAAUUGUGGUUAAUAAUAUUGAUGUGAUGAUACAAAAAGGUGUGAGUGCAUAAUUAUUAAUUCACAGAGGUGUUGAUAUUAAGAGAUGUUAAAACUUCUUGAACAUAUCAUAAAUUAAAAGGGCAUGGUGGUGAUGUUUGAGCAUGUCUAUUCCUUGUUGAAAACCUAGUGUUGUUUCGAGUGAGAGUCACGCGAUGGUUAAUUCCUACCAACCCUCUCCUUCAGGUCAUGUGAGUAGUAAUUUGAUAUGUGAUAAGACUAAUAAAAUUUUACAAUAAGUAUAUGAGUUCUUUAUGACUAAUGUGACACCAUGGACAUACGCCAUCUCACCUCCUCAUAUUUGUUAGCCUCUAUAGUACCGCGCAUAGCCAAUUCUCACCUCAAGGAUUGAUGCAACUUUCUCCUGUGCAUCCAAACCCCUUGACAUGAUAUGAUUUGUUGCACAUAAGCCUUAUUAUAUCCUCCUCAAAACAGCCACUAUACCUACCUAUCAUGGCAUUUCCAAAGCCAUUCCGAGAUACAUUGCCUUGCAAACUCCAUUGUUACCUCACAUGAAUAGUUCGUUGAUCAUCAUAUUGCUUUGCAUGAUCAUAUAGAGCGAACAUAGUAUUUUUGGCAAAGGCACCAUUCAUAAUAGCAUUUCUGGCAUAGCCACUAAAUAUCAUAUGCUGAAUACAUGUCAGGAUAGAUCAUCUCACAUACUGGUACACUGCUAGAGCCAUUCAUAUUGGAGUCAUGUUGCUUCAUUCAUGAUAUCGAGUUAUCCAUGAGUCGUAAGUAAAUAAAAGUGUGAUGAUCAUCAUUAUUAGAGCAUUGUCCCAGUGAGGAAAUAAAGAUGGGGGAGGACAAAUGAUCCCACCAUAAAAAUAAAAAUAAAGAGAGAAGGGACUUUGCCACUAUCCUUUACCAAACUUGUACAUCAAAGUGGCACCAUGUUCAUCAUGUAGAGAGUCUCAUGUUAUAUGAUUCGUAUGCUAGUGGGAAUCAAAAAAAUUAUAAACUUGGCUCGUAUAUUUCGAGGAUGGGCGUCCUCAAAUGCACGAGGUCUUCAUGAGGAAGCAAGUUGGAAGCACAACCCACUUACAUUCAGUGGAGCUUUCAUACACUUAUAGCUCUAGUGGAUCAUUUGCAUGGCAACCCCUAGUCCUUGUAUCAAUAUCUAGCAAUGGGUAUCUCCAUAACCCGUUGGUACGCCUAGUGGAUACGAGACUAUCUUCUCCACCUUUCAACCCCGUUGAAACCUUCCACCUCCAUUCCACUUAUAUGUUAUGUCCAAUGGUUCACGCUCAUGUAUUGCGUGAAGAAUAAAAAUUUGAUGCAUAUUGAAAAAGUACGAUUCAAUUUCCUGACUUGGGCACCGUGGUGCUUGACAUUUGUAGUUGUGUGGUGAAGAUGGGGCCAUGCCUUGCUAAUAUAAUAAAGAAGGAAAGGGUUGAAACAAUCUUUGAGGCUCAUGCACUUUGAAAUAUUAGUUGUUUUGUUGCUUAUACUUAUAAAUAUUGUUGUGUUAAUAUUUGUUAAUUCAUCAUUUCUCAAUGAGCAUACAUGCAUAAGAAUACAUCAUGGAGAGGAUGUCCCAUAAAAAUUAUGUUUUAUCAUUUACCUACUUGAGGACAUUUCUCAAUGAGCAUACAUGCAUAAGAAUACAUCAUGGAGAGGAUGUCCCAUAAAAAUUAUGUUUUAUCAUUUACCUACUUGAGGACGAGGAGGAAUUAAGCUUGGGGAUGCUUGAUAUGUCUCCAACUUAUCUAUAAUUUUUUAUUGUUCCAUGCUAUUAUGUUACCUUUGUAGAACACUUUUGACGCACUUAUCUACCUAUUUAUAUUAUUUUUGAGCACUAACCUAUUGACCCACUGCCCAGUGCGAGUUGUUGUUUUCUGCUUGUUUUCCACUUUUCAGGUUCUAGUACCAAACGAAGCCCAAUUGACCUGAAAAGUUUGUGAUUUUUUCUGGAACAAAACAAGACUGUGGAGCAUCGGAAGAAGGCCAGGAGGCGCACGCGGCCCUCACAAGCCAUCAGGGCGCGACCUGGGGGGGUUGCGGCCUGAUAGCUUGUGGCCGCCUCGUGGCUUCCCCGACCCUGUUCCGUGGCAUAUAAAUUCCAAUUUACCCUAAAAACUCCAUAGGAGGUCCCGAAACACUUGUUAUGAUGCCAAAGGUCUCUCUUCCGACGGGAGGCUAUCUAGAGCUCUGUUUCGACACUUUGUCGGAGGAGUGAUCGAUCACGGAAGGCUUCCUCAUCAACCUUGCUGCCCUCAUGAUUAUGUGUUAGUAGUUCACCAUAGACCUACAUGUCCAUAGUUGUACCUAGAUGGCAUAUCUCUCUUUUUGAUCUUCAAUACAACGAUCAUCGCAUCUUCGCUUUGAUCCAUAUGAUGUAACUCUUUUGUACGGUGCGUUUGUUGGGAUCCGAUGAAUUGUGGGUUUAAGUUCAGAUUAUUCAUGAUAAAUAUUUGAGUCUCCUUUGAUAUAUAUAAUAUUAUUCUUAUGUGCAUGAUUAUGAUAGCUUUUUAAUUCUCUCCGAUGUAUUAAAAUAGUUUGGCCAAAUGUGUGUUGUAUUAGGUUCAACCUGGCGAGUUUCUAUAUCCCGAUGACAGAAGGGGAUAAGUUGUGUCUUUGUAUUGCUUCUACUAAGGGUAAAAUGAUUGGGUUUAUUCAUAUUAGUUGAGUUUAAUUUUUCUACAUCAUGUCAUCUUACUCCAAGCGUUACUUCGGCUGUUGUGAACUUAAUACAUAGAGAGGCAAGCAUAAAAACGCUCUUGAAGUGAAGUAAUAGUGCUAGGUGCACGCAGGAGUCGGCCUAUUUGAUUAUGGACGUGUUGCCUAUAUUUACACGAUCAUUGCCAUGAAAAUCGCAUAACUAUCCGCUCUUCUAUUAAUUGCCCAACAAUAAUUUGUUUACCCACCUAAUGCUUUUUUUCAUGACCAAUAAUUUGUUUCAUGAAUAGCUAAGGCCCCCGGGUCUAUUCACAACAUAUUGCUAAAACCUCCAACACCUUGCUGCCAUUUAUUUACUUUAUUUUUUUUACAUUUUACAAUUAUCUACGCACCUCAUUCACUUGCAAAUAACGAGACGAAGGGGAUUGACAACCCUCUUGCCCGUGUUGGGUGCAAGCUGUUUGUUCUUCUGUGUGCAGCCGCUGAAGACGGUUGUGGAUUUAUAUUCCUAUUGGUUCGAUAAACCUUGGUUUCAUAACUGAUGGAAAUACUUACCCAAUUUGUGCUGUGAUUAGUCGUUCCUCUUCAUGGAAAAACCAGCACAGAUCACGAGUAUCAAGGAAAUUUUCUGUUGUCCUACAACACUCUACACUUGGAGGCCCAAGAACUUCUACAAGGAUAAAGUUGUGUAGUAGACAUAACAUGCAAACAUCAUUUUCAAACCCGUAGGAUCACACACUUACCGUUUGGUGACACUAGAGUAUUACAGGGAUAUAUACAUUGAUGAUUGAAUGUUGUUCGGAGUCCUGCAUGAGAUCACAACCAUCACGAGGAGUUCCAAAAUGGUCCGCAGGUAAAUAUUUAUAUAUGUGUUGGGACCCCGAUCCUAAGCCAUAGGAAUCCAGCCUGUAACACAUCGCAUCCCUUUGCGGUCUCACGCACGGUUAACUCCACGGCUGCAGCCUUACCUAAGCCGGGACCGUUUGCGUCUUUUGACUCGCGUAUGCAAUAGUGUCGCUAGCAUUCCAAUGUCAAAGAACCCGGAUCGACAUGUCUAGUCAUAAACCAAAGUGGCAGUACCGCACAAGGACAUGCAUACAUGACCCAACAAAGCAGGUGUCGGUCAUCANNNNNNNNNNNNNNNNNNNNNNNNNNNNNNNNNNNNNNNNNNNNNNNNNNNNNNNNNNNNNNNNNNNNNNNNNNNNNNNNNNNNNNNNNNNNNNNNNNNNNNNNNNNNNNNNNNNNNNNNNNNNNNNNNNNNNNNNNNNNNNNNNNNNNNNNNNNNNNNNNNNNNNNNNNNNNNNNNNNNNNNNNNNNNNNNNNNNNNNNNNNNNNNNNNNNNNNNNNNNNNNNNNNNNNNNNNNNNNNNNNNNNNNNNNNNNNNNNNNNNNNNNNNNNNNNNNNNNNNNNNNNNNNNNNNNNNNNNNNNNNNNNNNNNNNNNNNNNNNNNNNNNNNNNNNNNNNNNNNNNNNNNNNNNNNNNNNNNNNNNNNNNNNNNNNNNNNNNNNNNNNNNNNNNNNNNNNNNNNNNNNNNNNNNNNNNNNNNNNNNNNNNNNNNNNNNNNNNNNNNNNNNNNNNNNNNNNNNNNNNNNNNNNNNNNNNNNNNNNNNNNNNNNNNNNNNNNNNNNNNNNNNNNNNNNNNNNNNNNNNNNNNNNNNNNNNNNNNNNNNNNNNNNNNNNNNNNNNNNNNNNNNNNNNNNNNNNNNNNNNNNNNNNNNNNNNNNNNNNNNNNNNNNNNNNNNNNNNNNNNNNNNNNNNNNNNNNNNNNNNNNNNNNNNNNNNNNNNNNNNNNNNNNNNNNNNNNNNNNNNNNNNNNNNNNNNNNNNNNNNNNNNNNNNNNNNNNNNNNNNNNNNNNNNNNNNNNNNNNNNNNNNNNNNNNNNNNNNNNNNNNNNNNNNNNNNNNNNNNNNNNNNNNNNNNNNGUGUCAGGGAUGUGACAACUCACCCCCACUCAAAAGAAUCUCGUCCCGAGAUUUAGAAGUCGUCGGAAAAAACGCAGGAUAUUCAAGUUGGAGACGAUCCUCUCUUUCCCAAGUUGCAUCCUUUUCAGAAUGAUUUGACCAUUGAACUUUAAGAAACUUGAGGUUUCGACGUCGAGUGGUACGCUCGGCUUGAUCAAGAAUAUGCACGGGGUAUUCUCGGUAUGAAAGGUUAUCUUGGAGAUCAAGCGUUUCGUGGUCCACUUCACAGAUAGGAUCUGAAAAGCAACGCCUGAGUUGCGAGACGUGGAAAACAUCAUGAACCUUGGAAAGAUGCGGAGGAAGUUCCAACUGGUAGGCAACUUCUCCUCGUUUGGCAAGAAUGCGAAAAGGACCAAUGUAACGAGGAGCCAACUUGCCCUUGAUACCGAAACGGUGGGUACCCUUCAAAGUUGUAACCCGAAGGUAAGCCUUCUCGUCAACUUCAAAGGUCACAGCCUUAUGAUGACGAUCAUAUUGGCUCUUCUGACGAGACUGGGCUGUUUUCAACUUUUCACGAAUAAUGCGAACCUGCUCUUCUGCAUCCGGGAUCAUGUCCGGGCCAAAGAGUUGCCUCUCUCCGGUUUCUGACCAAUUAAGAGGUGUUCGACAUCUUCGUCCAUAGAGAACUUCAAAAGGGGCUUUGCCCAAGCUUGAUUGAUAACUAUUGUUAUAAGCAAAUUCGGCGAAUGGAAGGCACUUUUCCCAAUUCAUACCGAACGAUAUAACACAAGCUCGGGGCAUAUCUUCUAGGAUUUGAUUCACUCUUUCUACUUGACCACUUGAUUGGGGAUGGAAAGCAGUGCUAAAAGAUAAGUGAGUCCCCAUGGCAUUCUGAAAACUUUCCCAGAAGCGAGAAGUAAAGAUACUCCCAUGGUCUGAGUUAAUCUCCAGGGGAACACCAUGAAGAGACACUAUUCGGGAGAUAUAUAACUCUGCUAGCUGGCUAGCUGUUAUACUCUCACGAACAGGAAGAAAAUGAGCCACUUUGGAAAGACGGUCAAUGACAACAAAGAUAGCAUUAUUCCCUUUCUUGGUCUUGGGAAAUCCGGUAAUGAAAUCCAUGCUAACUUUAUCCCAUUUCCAUUCAGGAAUAGCUAGAGGUUGAAGGGUGCCAGCAGGCCUUUGAUGUUCUGCCUUAACUCGACGACAAAUGUCGCAGUUAGCAACGAACUCAGCAAUUUCUCUCUUCAUCCUAGUCCACCAGAACCUCUGGCGUAGGUCCUGAUACAUCUUAGUACUACCGGGAUGAAUGGUGAGAGGAGAAUCAUGAGCCUCCUUAAGGAUUAACUGCCUUUGUGGGUUCUUAGGAACCACUAGACGAUUCUGGAAGAACACAACACCUUGAUCGUUCAUGGAAAAUUCUUUAGCGUUUCCGCUAAAAAUAUUCUCCUUGAUCCGUGAUAUACCCUUGUCACGCUUUUGGCCAGCUAUAAAUUGAACCUUAAGAGUAGGCUUCACCACCAGGGUAGAAAGGAAUCCUUGAGGAACAAUAUGAACAUUCAACUUCCGAAAGUCCUCAUGGAGAUGUGGUUGACCUUGUUGUAGCAUCAAAUUGUUACAAUAAGAUUUACGACUUAGUGCAUCGGCCAUAACAUUGGCCUUCCCCGGGGUGUAAGUUAUCCCUAAGUCGUAAUCCGAGAUCAACUCAACCCACCGUCUUUGCCUGAGAUUCAAAUCCGGUUGGGUGAAGAUAUAUUUCAGACUUUGGUGAUCAGUGAAUAUUUCGCAACGAUUACCCAAAAGGUAAUGUCGCCAGGUUUUUAGUGCAUGGACCACAGCUGCAAGCUCAAGGUCAAGUGUGGGAUAAUUAUCCUCAUGUGGACGCAACUGACGAGAUGCGUAUGCGAUCACAUGACGAUCUUGCAUGAGAAUGCAACCUAAUCCUUGUCGCGAGGCGUUGCAGUAGAUAACAAAGUCCUUAGAAAAAUCUGGUGGUAGCAACACAGGUGUGGAAGUCAGGCAUCUUUUCAGUUCCUGAAAACUAUGCUCGCACUGUGGUGUCCACUCGAACUUUUUAUCUUUCUUGAGGAGUUCAGUUAGAGGCUUUGCAACCUUGGAGAAAUUCUCGACGAAGCGGCGACAAUAGCUCGCUAAACCAAGAAAACUGCUAACUUGCUUAACCGAUUCAGGUUGGGUCCAAUCAAGGACAGCUUGAACUCUCUCGGGAUUGACAGCAAUACCCUUACCAGAGAUUACGUGACCCUGAUAGGUCACUUCUGGUAACCAGAAUUCACAUUUUGAAAACUUGGCAUAAAGGCGAUGCUCUCGAAGUUUCAUCAAUACCAGCCUUAGAUGCUCGGCAUGUUCUUGUUCAUUCUUCGAGUAGAUGAGAAUAUCAUCGAGGUAAACCACGACGAAUUUAUCCAAAUACUCCAUGAAGAUUGAAUUCAUCAGUCGAGAGAAGGUGGCUGGGGCAUUGGUCAAACCGAAGGACAUGACGGUGUACUCGUAUUGGCCAUAACGAGUAACAAAAGCCGUUUUUGGAAUGUCCCCGUUGUUAAUCUUGAUUUGAUGGUAUCCCAACCUCAAAUCCAUUUUGGAGAAGACUGAGGAUCCAGCGAGCUGAUCGUACAGGUCGUUGAUCCUGGGGAGCGGAUACUUGUUCUUUAUGGUGACCAGAUUAACUGGUCGGUAAUCUAAAACCAUCCGAUCCGUUCCGUCUUUCUUCUUGACGAAGAGAACGGGGCAAGCCCGGGGAGAAGAGCUAGGACGAAUGAAACCUUUGUUCAAGGCCUCAUCUAGUUUCCUUUUAAGUUCGGCUAGCUCCAGGGGUGCCAUCUUAUAUGGUCUUCUUGCUAUUGGGACAGUUCCCGGAACAAGAUCUAUCACAAACUCCACAUCUCUGUCAGGUGGAAUUCCUGGCAGUUCCUCUGGAAAGACAUCCGGGAAGUCACGGACUACCGGAAUGUCUUCGAGUUCCGGAAGAGGGUUGGCAUUUAAGGAAUAGAGUUGGCAUUUGGCAACUCGAGUAGAGACAUUUACCAUCUCACCCGAGGGAUGGGUAAGCUGGACAUUUCUAGAAUGAGUAUCAAUCUUGGCAUAGUGAGCUGACAUCCAGUCCAUGCCCAAGAUGAUAUUAAUAUACGAAGAUUUCAAGGCUAUCAAUGAGGCUAGAAAAACUAGCCUAUCUACUAGAAUUUCAUUGCCAUAGGUUAUCCUAGAGGUUUGCCAUUUACUACCAGGGGUUUGGACAACCAAUGGAAUUGGCAUAUCACAAAAAGACAUGUUAUGCAACUGUGCAUAACUUUCUGAAAUGAAGGAAUGAGAAGACCCAGUGUCAAAGAGAACGGACGCUGGGUGAUGAUUAACAAGAAGCGUACCCAGCAUGACGUCGGGAUCCUCUGCAGCUUCUUCUGCUGACACAUAGUUCACACGGCCACGUGCAGGAGUUGGCUUCACAUAGUAAGCUUUGCCCGACUUGGCUUGCCCGACGGACUUUCCGGUUUGCUUGGCACCCACAUUCUGAGGACACUCACGGGAAUAGUGCCCUAGUUCUCCACACUUAUAGCAUAUCACCUGGUUGGCACGUGGUGCAGCAUUGCUAGCUGGACCACCAUAAGCUUAUGCUGGAGGAUUGGCCUGAUUCGUCUGAGGCGCCACGUAGGAUGGCCUCGGAGUGUAUCUUGGCGGCAGAGAACUGUUCGGAACCCACAGCCUGCGUUUGGAAAACGCGGAACCAGAAGACGAGCCAAAGUCACGGGAGUGCUUCCUUGUGGCUUCGAAGUCAGUAUGACCAGUCUCAGCACUGAUCGCCUUGUUGACCAGAGCUUGAAAGCUUGCACACUCGUGGAGGCGCAGAUCACAACGAAGCUCAGGGCUCAGACCCUUAGGGAAUCUUGCUUGCUUCUUGGCGUCAGUAGACACCUCCUCUGUUGCAUAGCGGGCGAGAUUACCGAAUUCGCGGCUAUAGGCAUCCAUAGACAACUUGCCCUGAGUGAAGGCACAUAACUCCUCUCUCUUUCUGUACAUCAGGCCCUCUGGAAUAUGGUGCAGACGAAAGGCUGCACUAAAGUCUGCCCAUGUGGCUACUGGUUCAGCGGGACGCAUAGCUUCAAAAUUCUCCCACCACAGAUUGGCGGGUCCUUCCAGGAAAUACGCCGCAAAGGUUACCUUGUCGGCCUCAGACACAUUCGCAGAGCGAAUCUUGCGUGAGAUGCUGCACAGCCAGUCAUCAGCGUCGAGGGGAUCGACGGAAUGAUGGAACUUUGGAGGAUUCAGCUUCACAAAGUCAUUGAGGGACACUGCGGCAUUCCUAGGCCGACAAACCGUAUUCUGCUCAAUACGCUCUAACAGUCGAUUGGUCUCCCUUUUAUUUCUCUCUGCCUCAAGCAUCACUUCCACCAGAGAAGGCGGGUGAGGCAGGUCUUCCUGCGACGCUUGACUACCCUCGCCUUGCUCAUGAGCAGGGGCACGGUUCAACCUGGUGAACACCAUCCUGACAAACAAACUCACAGCUUAGACCAAUAUCAUAUCAAUACUAGCUAUGGAUUAAGAAUGUACUGGACGCACGGAAUGCGGAAAUGAAUAUCCGAGCAGCAUGGUAACAAGCAACUGCUAUAUAUACACCAUGGUUCAUACACACCCUUACAUAGUUCAGUACAACCUUAACCGAAGAGCAAACUACUGAAAUUAUGAAACUACUCAUCAGAGGCUUACAAGCUUCCUACACAUUAUUUAUCUAGGCCUCCGGAAUUCAUUUCACAUUACAUGCAUACUUCACAAGUCAUGCAGGACUGUGAACGUACGGCUACUACCAUACUAUCCUUCCGCUCACUGCUCAGGCAUCUGCAUAAAACAUCUCAUAGAGAUUGCUUCCAUGACCUGGAAGCUCAACCUGCGGAUCAGGAAACACUCUAGCCUGAGAUCCCUGGGAUCCAUAAGGACACGGAUGUGGCCUUGGUCCCCUAACUGGUGGUAAGAGGGGUCCCCGCAGAGGUGUGACUCCUCCUAUAGCUGGCCAGUCAACGUGGGCCGGAAGAUGGGUCCUAACAGGGUUCAGCAUCUCCAUCUCUCCAUACCCUGUCUGGACUACCGGUGUCAGCUGCGCCAAAGCCGUCCACAAACGGGCACGGGUAGCAUAAAGCUCCAUGCGGAGAGCACGAACAUCCCUGUCUCUGUUCUCUAGCAUCUCAACAGUGGACUGCAGUAGUGGAUCCUCCAUAGAAGAAUCAAAAUAGACUCCACUGAGGUAUCCCUCUUCACCAAGCUGAGAGGCCGGAACAUAGCAGAACUCUGAAUUCUGCAGCAGUGCAUGUCUCGCUCUCAUAAUGGUCAGCAUUGAAUAGGCAGCAUCCUGUACUGCCAUGUCAACGGUGACCCCCAACCCAUAGGACCAAUGGAUUGGCUUCUCAGCUCCAGGGUAGUCUGGAAAUACCCUAACAGUGCAGAUGUACUGGCUCUGGUUGAAGUCUCGGUACUGUACCUCCACUGUGUACUCGGGGUACCAGCGGUAACCGCACACCGACAUCACCCUGACCAGCAUGGCCGUAUGACCCGGUACAUCAAUGCACCUGGUCAGACGUACCACCUGACGAGAAGGACGGCCAGGCAUCUGUAAAUAGAGAGUAAUGCAAAAGCAUUAGAGCUCUAAAUGCAAAAUUGGGCAGCAUAACGGCUGUAAAUGCUCAAAACAAAUUUUGAGACAACCCAAAAUGGAAUAGCGUAACCAGUCAACUAUCAAGUUCAACUCUCUGAUCAUCAAACUUACUUCCUUUUUCCUAGGAAUAGAAGAAACCCAAUAUCUCUUGACCCGUAGUCCUAUAAUCUACCGAUCAGAAACACGAGCCUAGAAGAAGAUGAGUAACCUAGUCCUUAAUUCCCGCAGAAAAGACGAGGAUGACCAGAAUAGAAUAACUUGAGAAGAGAACAAGAGUCUUACGUUCCCUUCCACAAACAAUUCCCUUAUAUAUAACUAAAGGAAUUCUAGACUCAACUUCGACCAGUUUGGCUUAGUAAUCCUACAGUCAGUCAGGCUCUGAUACCAACGCUGUCGGGACCCCGAUCCUAAGCCAUAGGAAUCCCUUUGCGGUCUCACGCACGGUUAACUCCACGGCUGCAGCCUUACCUUAGCCGGGACCGUUUGCGUCUUUUGACUCGCGUAUGCAAUAGUGUCGCUAGCAUUCCAAUGUCAAAGAACCCGGAUCGACAUGUCUAGUCAUAAACCAAAGUGGCAGUACCGCACAAGGACAUGCAUACAUGACCCAACAAAGCAGGUGUCGGUCAUCAACGAGUGUAGACGAGUCGUAGCAAGCUACAAGGACUCCAUUACAUCGCGUGACAUUUCCCCAAAGAGGACAGACACAGCAGCUAAGAAGGACACAUGCCGGUCAACUAAUGUGUCCGGAGCAGUAGCGAACUACCAAGGCUCGUUGGAUCACAAAGGGGAAUUUCCUUGUAAGGAAUGCUACUAAAGCUCACGACUAGGUAAUCGAACCCCAUAUAUAUCAAGUACGACACACGUAUGCAUGGCAUACCGAUAUGUAUAGAUGCAUCGAUGGCAUCACAACAAAACCAUAGACAUACAACCUUUAUUUAAGAGGCUCGGAAGAGCCACACACAUAAUAUUACACAUUAAGGGUCUCAUGACCCAUAAUAGCAGUCAUUCAGUUACAAGCCAGCGGAAGAGUUUAAACCGUCUGAGUACAGAUAGGGCAACUAAAGGGCACAUGGCCUGACUAUACUACAGACCCAACGUAGGGCCAGAUCGUAGCUCGGACACCAGCUACUCGUCGUCGUCGAUGUCUACGAAGAACCCUCCAUUAGGGUCAUUAGCAACCUCUGCAACAUUUAUUAAGCAAACAUGAGUACGAAGGUACUCAGCAAGACUUUAGGAUAACUAACUACUCAUGCAAGGUAUCAAAAAGGUAUUGUGGGGUUUCAUGUGGAAAGCCAGCAUUUGACUCGUGGCUAGACAGCUUGCAUUUUAAAUAAUUUUGACAACUUGAUUUCUCGCACACGAGUCCACUAAAACCACAACAAUACACUAUCGUGGAAUCAUUCCGUCUCCAUACGGAAAUGCCAUCCACGACACUCACGCUUAUCUUGGGAAUUUUAUGAGUAGCCAUUGAAGUUAUCUAUGAACAACAUAUGUCUCCAAGUAGUCCAUAUCCGCGGNNNNNNNNNNNNNNNNNNNNNNNNNNNNNNNNNNNNNNNNNNNNNNNNNNNNNNNNNNNNNNNNNNNNNNNNNNNNNNNNNNNNNNNNNNNNNNNNNNNNAUUAAUCUACAUGUUUGGUUUCUGUAACUUUUUCAAACAUGAAUGAAAAUAGCAUAUUCAGAUUCCUUGAAUUUUUUGAUACUUUUUCAUAUAUAAAUUAUUUUCAUUGGAGUUACAGAUUAAUUUCUAUGAUUUUUUGAAGUUUUAAACAUUUCUACAAUUAUUUUUAUACUGGAAAAUACUUUUAUUGCAUCAGCAUGACAUCACCAGGUCGAACUGGACGAUGAAAGUCAAACCUGACCAGUGGGACCCACUGGUCAGUCUCUCAGGUCAAUUUUAGAUUAGGAUUAAUUUAUUUAGUUAAUUAAACCCACUGGACCCACAUGUCAGUGUCUUAUUAUUUUUACUGAUUUAUUUUUAUUAUUUCUAAUCUUGCCAGAGGCUGACCCCACCAGUGAGUGGCUCAGGCCAGCCGAGAUCCACAGGCGGCGAGGUCGUCCUCGCCGGCGGGGAGCCUCCGGCGAGCACCAGACCGUCGGGAGGGCUUGGAAAUGGCGCACAGAGGGCCAAACGCACGGCUGAGACCAUGGGAGGAACGGCCACUCGAUGGCUCGCACGAUGGAACAAGCCCCAGGGGCUGGGGUGGCCGGGAUCAGCGCCGGCGACAAGCUUGGCGGCGACCAAGUUCGGCCAUCGUCGAAGCCAUCGGAUAUGGGGUCAAAACACUCGGGGCUGGGCACCUAACGCAUCUACACGACGUCCUGAGGCUGUUGGUAGCCUCAGACGGACCAGCACUUCACCGAAGGGCUGCCGGCGACGGGNNNNNNNNNNNNNNNNNNNNNNNNNNNNNNNNNNNNNNNNNNNNNNNNNNNNNNNNNNNNNNNNNNNNNNNNNNNNNNNNNNNNNNNNNNNNNNNNNNNNNNNNNNNNNNNNNNNNNNNNNNNNNNNNNNNNNNNNNNNNNNNNNNNNNNNNNNNNNNNNNNNNNNNNNNNNNNNNNNNNNNNNNNNNNNNNNNNNNNNNNNNNNNNNNNNNNNNNNNNNNNNNNNNNNNNNNNNNNNNNNNNNNNNNNNNNNNNNNNNNNNNNNNNNNNNNNNNNNNNNNNNNNNNNNNNNNNNNNNNNNNNNNNNNNNNNNNNNNNNNNNNNNNNNNNNNNNNNNNNNNNNNNNNNNNNNNNNNNNNNNNNNNNNNNNNNNNNNNNNNNNNNNNNNNNNNCUAGUCUGCUCGGGGACGACCUGGAGAGGGAGAACGUCGGCGGCGAUCUUCGGUGACCCGAGGAAGAAGACGACGGUUGCGCGUUGAUUCACUGCAUCUGGGCGUCGGGCUCGUGGCUAGGAAGCUUCACGGGGGUUGCGACGGAGCUAACGCGCGGCUCAGAAGGAAGGGAGGUCUAGAACGACGACGAGCUCGAGCUCUACUCGGGAUCCAAGGGCGGCAGAAGGGGGAGGAGAGAUCCGAGAGGAGGGGGAGAACUGGCGCUGGGAAUGGAUAGGAGCGGCCUCGGGGAGCUUAUCCCCGGCCUUGCCAGCGCGAGGCGGCGGCCAGGCAGGCGCACAGGUGCCUGGCCGUGCCGGAGAACGCGGCGGCCACCUCGUGCUGCCCACUGGCGGGGAGGAAGACAACAGGAGCUGAGAUGGGCCGGGCUAGGUGAGCGACAUGUAACCUCUUUUCCUUUUUCUUUCUGUUUUUGUUUCUGUUUUGAUAUUUCANNNNNNNNNNNNNNNNNNNNNNNNNNNNNNNNNNNNNNNNNNNNNNNNNNNNNNNNNNNNNNNNNNNNNNNNNNNNNNNNNNNNNNNNNNNNNNNNNNNNUGAAAUAUCAAAACAGAAGCAAAAACAGAAAGAAAAAGGAAAAGAGGUUACCUGUCGCUCACCUGGCCCGGCCCAUCUCAGCUCUUGUCGUCUUCCUCCCCGCCAGUGGGCAGCAGGAGGUGGUCGCCGCGUUCUCCGGCGCGGCCAUGCACCUGUGCGCCUGCCUGGCCGCCGCCUCACGCUGGCAAGGCCGGGGAUAAGCUCCCCGAGGCCGCCCCUAUCCAUUCCCAGCGCUAGUUCUCCCCCUCCUCUCGGAUCUCUCCUCCCCCUUCUGCCGCCCUUGGAGCCCGAGCAGAGCUCGAGCUCGUCGUCGUUCUAGCCGACCUCUCUUCCUUCUGAGCCGCGCGUUAGCUCCGCCGCAACCCCCUGAAGCAUCCUAGCCACGAGCCCGACGCCCAGAUGCAGUGAAUCAACGCGCAGCCGUCGUCUUCUUCCUCGGGUCACCGAAGAUCGCCGCCGACGUUCUCCCUCUCCAGGCCGUCCCCGAGCAGACUAGCGCCACCACUGCACUCCCCGUGAGCAUGCGGUCUUUUCCCCUAAGAUCUCCCCGUCGAUCCCCUCCUCUAGCCCUAGUUUCAUCGGAGCCCGACGAGGACCGCCGCUGCAGCCCGUCGCCGGCAGCCCUCUGGUGAAGUGCUGGUCCGUCUGAGGCUACCAACAGCCUCAGGACGUCGUGUAGAUGCGUUAGGUGCCCAGCCCCGAGCGUUUUGACCCCGUAUCCGAUGGCUUCGACGAUGGCCGAACUUGGUCGCCGCCAAGCUCGUCGCCGGCGCUGAUCCCGGCCACCCCAGCCCCUGGGGCGUGUUCCAUCGUGCGCGCCAUCGAGUGGCCGUUCCUCCCAUGAUCUCAGCCGUGCGUUUGGCCCUCUGUGCGCCAUUUCCGAGCCCUCCCGACGUUCUCGUGCUCGUCGGAGGCUCCCCGCCGGCGAGGACGACCUCGCCGCCGGUGGAUCUGGGCUGGCCUGAGCCACUGACUGGUAGGGUCAGCCUCUGGCAAGAUUAGAAAUAAUAAAAAUAAAUCAGUAAAAAUAAUAAGACACUCACAUGUGGGUCCAGUGGGUUUAAUUAACUAAAUAAGAUUAAUCCUAAUCUAAAAUUGACCUGAGAGACUGACCAGUGGGUCCCACUGGUCAUGUUUGACUUUCAACGGCCAGUUGGACCUGCUGAUGUGAUGCUGAUGCAAUAAAAGUAUUUUCCAGUAUAAAAAUAAUUGCAGAAAUGUUUAAAACUUCAAAAAUUCAUAGAAAUUAAUCUGUCACUCCAAUGAAAAUAAUUUAUAUAUGAAAAAGUAUCAGAACAAUUCAAGGAAUCUGAAUAUGCUAUUUUCAUUCAUGUUUGAAAAAGUUACAGAACCCAAACAUGUAGAUUAAUNNNNNNNNNNNNNNNNNNNNNNNNNNNNNNNNNNNNNNNNNNNNNNNNNNNNNNNNNNNNNNNNNNNNNNNNNNNNNNNNNNNNNNNNNNNNNNNNNNNNCCAAACAUGUAGAUUAAUGAAUAAGUCAAUUCUUAUAAUUACUUUAUAAAUGGAAUUUGAAAAAUAUUCAAAUUUCAUUAUGAAUGACAUGAUCAAACAUUGUUCUAAUAACCAACCAAUACCUUAACAUGACAUCUCAUGCAUGUUAACAUCAAGUUGGUAUGAGCAUCAGGUCGAAUCAAUUAAAUCGGUAUCCGAGAAUACCUGGUUUGAAUUGAUAUUCGAAUAUGAUUCAAAUCAAUCUCAAACCUAAUACAUGUUGAUCAUAAUAGUUUAUCACCUUGCAUUCUCAUGCCAUGCCCAUGAUCAUCUUGCUGGCAUAUGAUUGUUAUUGAUUGUUGCCAUUCAUUUCGGUAGGCUCCGCACCCCCGGAUUCCACCGAAUAUCCGUCUGUCGGAUAUUGUCCCUCCUCUGAGCAACAAGGCAAGCAACCCUUUUGAUCAUCCCGAUAAUUCCCAUGUUCAUGCUCCUGCACUUAUUAUUGCAUUAGGAUCAAAUACUUCAACUGCUUUUGCCACGUUAGUUGAACCCACUUCCUUUGCAUGACCUAACCUUGUCACAGUAAAUAGCCGAACCUUGCAACCUAGUAUACCUGGUGGUUGCUUGAGCUAUGAUGUGCCUUAUCCUUCUAUGCAUGCUAUGAUUAGAGUUAUGUAUGGUCUGUCAUCUGGGAGAUGAACAGAAUUGUGAGAAUGUGUUCGGUGAGCAAAGGUUGUGUGUUGAACUUGAUUUGGUAAAGGUACCGGUGAAAGGCUGUGUAGGAGUACAUGGCGGGUUGUUUCAUUGGAACCGUCCUUAGGAACUGAGUUCCGCGUAUGUAAUCCAAGACUAGAUACUACCACAUGCUGGGCCCUGAAAUAUGACCCCGCUCGACCUAUUAAUCGCUUAGUACUCGGUCCAGGAGUUGCAAGUAGUUUUUGGUGUUUAUAGUAAUGCUGGAUGCCGUGCAUGGUGCUGACGUGAGAGGUGGGCCGUGAUGCGGUAGGCAGUGGCACGGUGUACCAAGUGGCACCCGGAUGGUGGGCUUGGGAACCCUGCGCACAUCGUUUGAGGCCGUGGCGGAAACCUCGGCCGGACUUCCGUACGGGUUACUCUCAGAUAGGCGAUAAACCUGGACUAGGUACUAGUGUGGUUAACGGUCGUGGCCGACUCCCUCGCUGGGCUUCCGCUUGAAGGUUGCCGAGGUGCAUGACAUGCACAUGGCGAUAAGUGGCGAGAGCGUGUGUGACGAAGUACACCCCUGCAGGGUUAUGAUCUAUUCGAAUAGCCGCGUCCGCGGAUAUGGACUACUNNNNNNNNNNNNNNNNNNNNNNNNNNNNNNNNNNNNNNNNNNNNNNNNNNNNNNNNNNNNNNNNNNNNNNNNNNNNNNNNNNNNNNNNNNNNNNNNNNNNAGUCUUGGAUUACAUACAUGGAACUCAGUUUCUAAGGACGGUUCCAAUGAAACAACCCGCCAUGUACUCCUACACAGCCUUUCACCGGUACCUUUACCAAAUCAGGUUCAACACACGACCUUUGCUUACCGAACACAUUCUCACAAUUCUGUUCAUCUCCCAGAUGACAGACCAUACAUAACUCUAAGCAUAGCAUGCAUAGAAGGAUAAGGCACAUCAUGUCUCAAGCAAUUACCAGGUAUGCUAGGUUGCAAGGUUCAGCUAUUUACUAUGACAAGGAUAGGUCAUGCAAAGGAAGUGGGUUCAACUAACGUGGCAAAAGAAUUUGAAGCAUUUGAUCCUAAUGCAAUAAGUAAGUGCAGGAGCAAGAACCUGGGAUUUAUUGGAAUGAUCAAAAUGGUUGCUUGCCUUGUUGCUCAGAGGAGUGACAAUAUCCGUCAGACGGAUAUUCGGCGGAAUCCGGGGGAGCGGAGCCUACCGAAAGGAAUGACAACAAUCAAUAUCAAACAUAUGCAAUCAAGAUGAUGCAUGAGCAUGGCAUGAGGAUGCAAGGUGGUAUACUAUUAUAGCUAACAUGUAUUAGGUUUGAAGUUGAUUUGAAUCAAAUUCAUAUAUCACUUCAAACGAGGUAUUCUCGGAUACCAUUUUAAUUGAUUCGACCUGAUGCUCAGAUCAACUUGCUUUUAACAUGCAUGGGAUGACAUGUAAGGUUGCUGGUUUGUAAUUAGGACAGUGUUUGAUCAUGUCAUUUAUAUUGAAAUUUAAAUAUUUUCCAAAUUCCAUCUACAAAGUAUUUAUAAGAAUUAACUUAUUAAUUAAUCUACAUGUUUGGGUUCUGUAACGUUUUCAAACAUGUUUCAAAAUGACAUAUUCAGAUUCCUUGAAUUUUUCUCAUACUUUUUCAUAUAUAAAUUAUUUUCAUUGGAGUUACAGAUUAAUUUCUAUGAAUUUUUGAAGUUUUAACAUUUUUCUGGAAUUCUUUUAAAUCAGAAAACUCUUUAUUUCAUCAGCAUGACAUCAGCAGGUCCAACUGGCCGUUGAAAGUCAAACCUGACGAGUGGGACCCACUGGUCAGUGACUCUGGUCAGUUUUAGAUUAUAAUUAAUCUUAAUUAGCUAAUUAAUCUUACUGGACCCAUAUGUCAGUGACUUAUUAAAUUACUUAAUUUUAUUUUUAUUAUUCCAGAUUAUCCACAGGCUGGCCCCACACGUCAGUGGCUCACGCCAGCUGAGAUCCACCGGCGGCGAGGUCGUCCUCGCCGGCGGGGAGCCUCCGGCGACCACUAGUACGGUGGAGGGCAUCGGAAACUCGCCUCCGACGACCAAACUCACGGCAAAGACCACGGGGAGAACGGCCACUCGGCGGCGUGCACGAUGGGACAAACCCCAGGGGCUGGGGUGGCCGGAAUCAACGUCGGCGACGAGCUUGGCGGCGACCAAGUUCGGCCAUCGUCGAAGCCAUCGAUCACAGGGUCAAAACGCGCGGGGCUGGGCUCCUAAAGCAUCUACGUGAUGUCCUGAGGCUGCUGGUGGCCUCAGACGGACCAAUCCUUCACCAGAGGGCUACCGGCGACGAGCUGCAGCGGCGGUCCUUGUCGGGCUCCGGUAGAACUAGGCCUAGAGGAGGGGAUCGACGGGGAGAUCUUAGGGGAAAGUUGCGCAAGCUCACGAGGAGUGCAGAGGAGGGCUUAGACGGCUCGGGGAAGCACUGAGGGUGACGAAUCGAGCAGAGCUCGCCGGCGGCCGAAGGUUGAAGACGACGGUGCCGUAGGCGUUGCAGGGCUCGGGGAGGCUUCGGCUUCUGCAGGGAGGACUAGCUCGUCGAGGCGGAGCUAACGGCACACUCGGGAGGAAGUUCCUAUGGCUAGGGGCACGGGCAGCUCGAGCUCGAGCUCCUGUCAAUGGCGGCAGAGGGGAUCGGGAGAACCGAGAGAAGAGGGGGAAGAAGGAGCACGGGAAUGGAUAGCUACGUGCUCGGGGAGGUUAUCCCCGUGCUUGCCAGUGCGAAGCGGCGGCCAGGCAGGCAGGGAGCUACGUGGAGGCGUGCGGCGACGCGGGGGCCACCUCCUGCUCCUACUGGCGAGGAGGAAGACGGCAGCGCUACUGGGCCUGGGCUGAGGUGAGCGUCAGGUAGUUUCUUCCUCUAUUUUUUUCUGUUUUGUUUCUGUUAUGCUAACUAAUUGAUUUACUAUUUAUUUCAGCUCCCAAAUAGUUUGUAAAAACUAUUUUAAACACACCAGAAUAUUUGUUGGAAUAUAUCCACCCAUUCCUGGAGUUUUCAAUAUUUUUGAAAACUUAAAGUUUCUGAAAUCAAACUUUAAACAUGAAACCAGUAGCUUUUUGCAUUUAUUUAAAAUGCUUAAAGUAUCAAGAAAAUGGUUUUCUUCAUUGCUUAUUUACUUCGAGGAUUUAUCAGAAAAGUUGAACUUUUCUUGAGGCCAUUUUGGGUUCAUUGAUUUUAACUAGUUUGAAUUUUCCUUUAUUUUGAGAAGUGGCUAGGGUUUUUGAGUUUUCCUUCACCACUUACUUUGUUCUUGUUGCAAUUCUCUUGAAUGCAAUGCAAAGAAGAUAUGAGCACAAUGCUAAACCUUGGUUAGGGUUCCAGGGAUGUGACACACGGCACGAUCCGAGACGUCGGAUCGUGGGCUGUUACCGACUCGGACGUGGGUUCGGCCCACGUUUCUCCGUCCAACCGCCUACAUAAGCAGGCUAACGCCUACCCUAGCCGUCACGAGAAUCAGAUCACAUCUGCCUCACGCGUUCGUUCCUUUUGCUGCUGCUGCCACCGGCGACUCCGUCCCGUUUACCGCGUACACGAUCGAGGGGAGAGCAGGCCUCUGAAACCCCGCCUCUCCGGUUCCUGUACGGGGGAGGGGUGAUUAGGUUUUUGGGGAGCGAUCACACGACUGCUCGCCUCCGUCCGUCUGCUUCGUUUACGUCCGCGUCGUCCUCGUCAUCGCCAUGUCUUCACCAUCCGAGGCCGAUCGUCUCGCCCUUGAAGCUAAGAAGAAGAGGGCAGAGGAUGAUGCUGCGGCUACGGCCGUGGCCAACGCCAACUCUGCUGCUACGGCCAACUGGCCUAUUGGAGGGUAUGACUCGUUUAUCCUCAUGUUCGUAUUUAUCCUAGCAAUACUACUUGUCUGCAUAGAUGUAUCCACUAUAUGCGUAGUAUGUGCUAGGUUAGCUCAAGUUCAGUACAUCAUUAGUCUAGUCAGUGCCAUGCUAGUUAUUAUCUCGUGGAUUAAUAUACUCGGAAAAUUGCCUAUUUACUCAACAAUCCAAAAACCUAAUUUGUGUAGGAAUUUUUCGAGUAAUGGUUUUGCUGCUGCACUGAAACCGGACAAGUUUACCGGCACUUAUUUCAAGCGUUGGCAAACGAGAACCACCUUAUGGCUCACGGCUAUGAAUGUGUUCUGGGUAGCCGGUGUCACUGCAACGGGAACGAUCUCUCCUGAACAGGAGAAGAUGUUCGCGGAGGCCACCGUCCUAUUCCUUGGAGCAGUCAUAAGCGUGAUCGGAGAUAAGCUGGUUGACGCAUACUUACAUAUGCAUGUUGCCAAAGACUUGUGGGAGGCUCUCGAAUCUAAAUUCGGGGCCACCGACGCUGGGAGUGAGAUGUAUGUUAUGGAGCAGUUCCACGAUUACAAGAUGGUUGACAACCGUUCUGUAUUGGAACAUGCUCAUGAGAUAAUAUGCAUAGUUAAAGAACUUGAGGUUCUUAAGUGCAAUUUGCUAGGCAAGUUUGUCGCGGGCUGUAUAAUUGCUAAGCUCCCUAAUUCCUGGAGGAACUUUGCUACUACUCUGAAACAUCAGAGGCGUGAGUUCUCAGUAGAGGACAUCGUCGGCCAUCUGAGUGUUGAGCAAAACUCGAGAGCAAAGGACUCCACUGGAAAAGCGGUGGAAAGCUCUUCUGUUGCCAAUAUGGUACAUCAGAGGAACUUCAAUUCCCACAAGCCCAAGGGAAAGAAUUUUGUCCAACAGAAUACCGACUUCAAGAAGAAGGGAAAGAAGCCUUUCAAGAAGAAUAAGAAGGGAGAUGGCUGCUAUACUUGUGGUUCAUAGGAACAUUGGGCGAACAAAUGCCCAAACAAGUACAAGAAGCCGGCGCAGGACUCCAAGUCUGCCAAUAUGAUUGUGGGCAACAAUGAAAGUGGUGCAUCUGGGUACGGUAAUUUACUUACUGUGUUUACAGUUUGUCAGUCCACCGAUUGGUGGGUGGACACGGGUGCAAAUAUUCAUGUGUGUGCUGACUUAUCAUUGUUCUCUUCUUAUCAGGCCACCGGUCGCGGCGCGAGUGCUUCUGUUCUUGGUGUUGGCAUGGUCGAUCUGAAGUUUACUUCGGGAAGGAUCAUGCAGUUGAAGAACGUGCAGCAUGUCCCCGCCAUCAAGAAGAACCUCGUUAGUGGUUCCCUUCUGUGUAGAGAAGGGUUUAAGUUGGUAUUCGAGUCUAAUAAAGUAGUAGUUACGAAAUAUGGACUUUUUGUUGGAAAAGGUUAUGAGUGCGGAGGUCUGUUCCGCCUUUCCCACGCGGAUUUUUGUAAUAAAGUCGUGAACAAUAUUCAUUCGAGUGUUAAUGAAUCUGAACUUUGGCAUUCACGUCUUUGUCACAUAAGUUUCGGUGUUAUGUCGCGGCUAGCAAAACUGAAUUUAAUCCCGACUUUCACUUUAGCCAAAGGUUCUAAGUGCCAUUCGUGUGUGCAAGCAAAGCAACCUCGCAAGCCUCACAAGGCUGCAGAGGAGAGACACUUGGCACCAUUAGAACUCAUACAUUCUGAUCUUUGUGAGAUGAAUGGUGUGUUGACUAAAGGUGGAAAGAAAUAUUUCAUGACAUUGAUAGAUGAUUCCACUAGAUAUUGCUAUGUGUAUCUGUUAAAUACUAAAGAUGAGGCUCUACGCUACUUUAAAAUCUAUAAGGUAGAAGUUGAGAAUUAACUUGAAAAGAAAAUUAAACGAGUCCGGUCUGACCGUGGUGGAGAUUACUUCUCAAACGAGUUUGAUUCCUUGUGCGGAACACGGCAUUAUUCAUGAGAGGACGCCUCCCUAUUCACCCCAGUCAAACGGGGUUGCCGAGCAGAAAAACCGUACUCUAACUGAUUUGGUUAACGCCGUGUUAGAUACAUCGGGUUUAUCCAAGGCAUGGUGGGGGGAGGCUAUAUUGACCGCGUGCCAUGUCCUGAAUAAGGUUCCUACAAAAGAUAAUGAAGUCACUCCUUAUGAGGAGUGGUCGAAGAGAAGGACGACGCUCUCGUACUUACGUACUUCGGGCUGCUUGGCGAAAGUCAAUGUACCGAUCCCCAAGAAGCGUAAGCUUGGACCAAAGACUGUGGACUGCGUUAAUUUGGGAUAUGCUAAGAAUAGCGUAGGCUAUAGAUUUCUAGUAGUGAAAUUUGAGGUACCUGACGUGAAGGUCGGUACAAUAAUGGAGUCGAGGGAUGCUACAUUCUUUGAGGAUAUAUUUCCCAUGAGAGAUAUGAAAAGCACUUCUAGACAGGAAUCUGAGGUAACUCCCGAGCCUGCCAUUCCUAUGGAAUACUAUGAACAAACACAUGAUGAAAAUCCUGAGGAGGAUGACGAGGAAGCCCGUGGUAGGGGCAAGAGACAAAGGACUGCAAAGACCUUUGGUGAUGAUUUCUUCGUAUACCUGGUGGAUGAUAAUCCCACUUCUAUUUCAUAAGCGUAUGCUUCUCCAGAUGCUGAUUACUGGAAAGCUGCGGUCCGUAGCGAGAUGGAUUCCAUCAUGGCUAACGGGACAUGGGAAAUCACUGAUCGUCCUUAUGGUUGUAAACCAUCGGGAUGCAAGUGGGUGUUCAAAAAGAAGCUUAGGCCUGAUGGUACGAUUGAAAAGUACAAGGCUAGGCUUGUGUCCAAGGGGUAUGCCCAGAAAGAAGAAGAAGAUUUAUUUGAUACUUACUCACCUGUGGCUAGACUGACCACCAUUCGAGUACUACUCUCAUUGGCGACCUCUCAUGGUCUUCUCGUUCAUCAAAUGGACGUUAAGACGGCUUUCCUGAAUGAAGAGCUAAAUGAGGAAAUCUAUAUGCAACAGCCAGAUGGCUUUGUGAUAGAAGGUCAUGAAGGAAAGGUGUGUAAGUUGCUGAAACCUUUAUACGAUCUUAGACAAGCACCUAAGCAAUGGCAUGAGAAGUUUAAUACAAUUCUGACAUCUGUUGGCUUCAUUGUUAAUGAAGCUGACAAAUGUGUAUACUAUCUCCAUGGUGGUGGCGAAGGAGUUAUAUUGUGCUUGUAUGUUGAUGACAUACUGAUAUUUGGAACCAACCUCAAAGUAAUUGAGGAGGUUAAGUCUUUUCUAUCUCAAAACUUUGAGAUGAAGGACCUUGGGGUGGCUGAUGUUAUCUUGAAAAUCAAGCUGUUGAGAGAUGAUGAGGGUGGGAUUACACUUCUGCAAUCCCACUAUGUUGAGAAGAUUUUGAGUCGCUUUAGAUAUUCAGACUACAAAAUUUCUCAAACACCAUAUGAUCCUAGUGUGCUUAUUCGAAAGUUUAAAGGCACAACUAUAGAUCAAUUGAGAUUCUCUCAAAUUAUCGGUUCGCUUAUGUACCUAGCUAGCGCAACGAGGCCUGACAUCGCGUUUGCUGUGAGCAAACUUAGUCGGUUUGUUGCAAACCCGGGCGAUGUUCAUUGGCGUGCUGUUGAAAGAAUUAUGCGCUACUUGAAAGGUACUGUCAACCACGGGCUUCACUAUACGGGAUACCCAUCGGUACUAGAAGGGUAUAGUGAUGCGAAUUGGAUCUCUGAUGCUGAUGAGAUGAAGGCCACUACUAGGUAUAUGUUUACUCUUGGGGGUGGUGCUGUUUCCUGGAAGUCUUGCAAGCAAACGAUCUUAACGAGAUCGACAAUGGAAGCAGAAUUAACAGCAUUAGACACAUCUGGCGUCGAAGCAGAAUUUCUUCAAGUUCUUUUGAUGGACUUACCUGUGGUUGAGAAGCCGGUUCCAGCUAUCCUUAUGAACUGCGAUAAUCAGACGGUUAUUGUCGAAGUGAAGAGUUGAAAGGACGAUAUGAAGUCCAACAAACAUAUAAGAAUGAGAUUGAAGUUUGUCAGACGUUUGAGAAACUCCGGAGUGAUAGCGUCGGAUUACAUCCAAAUGGCGAAGAAUCUGGCAGAUCCCUUUACUAAAGGGCUAUCACGUGUUGUGAUAGAUAGUGCAUCGAGGGAGAUGGGUAUGAGACCCACAUGAGUUGCCAUGGUAGUAACCCAACCUAUAUGAUCGGAGAUCCAGUGAAGUAGGACCUGGGAAAACAAGCCAGUGGUGAACUGAGGAGAGUAACUCUACUAACCCACUCUGUUGGAGAGGCAAUGCUCUCGGAUAAUGUAUGGUAGGAUGACAACUGUCUUAAUGUGUUCUAAAGCUUAUGUGUAAGCAAGAUGCUGUCCUACAGAGCGAUCUUUGGAGGAACACACCUAUAUGAGCUUGACUGCUGGUCACAGUCUAUGAGAUUUGGGUGAUCUCUAGUAAACUCAUGAAUAGGCCAGGAGUGUGACUAAUAUGCUUCACCCGAGGGGUCACCUUCGGUAGUCUAGUACUAGUAAGACUUGUGGUGAAGCUCCUUUAGGCCAAACUGACAAUUCAAGGCAUAGUCCAUUGUUCAGUUGGUAAGGAGUGUAGCUGCUUGCUCUAGGUGAAGCUCAACCUUAACAGGUCUUCACUGAAAUGCGGGUAUAUUAAAACAGUGAUUGGAACGAGGGAACACAAUGUGCCCUUGAGAUCUGGUGGGCGAUUGUUGAAAUUAGUGAUGGGCCUUAGGCCCAUAAGAUAAUUUCAGAAAAAUCUCCAAGGGCCCAUGUAGGUGGUGGCAUGACAAGGUGGUGGGAAGUUUAGUCCCACCCCACUAGUGGAGGAGAAGUUGGACCCCUUUAUAAGGGUCUCUCUUCCACAUGCUAUUGGAGAGUGAGAAGAGAAGGUGCCCUCGCGCACUCCUCCUCCGUCGCCACCCGCCUCACCACGCCUCGUCACGACGCGCCGCGGGUUGCACGAAUGAGCCGAGCCGAGCUCAUACCUACACGCUUAUUUUUGUCGGUCAGGAACGGAGAAUACGUAACGGACACGGCAAGAUCCGAGAUGUCGGAUCGUGGGUGUUACCGACUCGGACGUGGGUUUGGCCCAAGUUUCUCCGUCCACCCGCCUACAUAAGUAGGCUAACGCCUACCCUAGCCAUCACGAGAAUCAGAUCACAUCUGACUCACGCGUUCGUUCAUUUUGCUGUUGCUUCUGCCGGCGACUCCGCCUCGUUUACCGCGUACACGGUCGACGGGAGAGCAGGCCUCCGAAACCCCGCCUCUCCGGUUCCUGUACGGGAGAGGGGCGAUUAGGUUUUUGGGGAGCGAUCACGCGACUGCUCAACUCCGUCCGUCUGCUUCGUCUACGUCCGCGUCGUCCUCGUCAUCGCCAUGUCUUCACCAUGCGAGGACGAUCGUCUCGCCCUUGAAGCUGAGAAGAAGAGGGCAGAGGAUGUUGCUGCGGCUACGGCCGCGGCCAAUGCCAACGCUGCUGCUACGGCCAACUGGCCUAUUGGAGGGUAUGACUCAUUUAUCCUCAUGUUCGUAUUUAUCCUAGCUAUACUACUUGUCUGCAUAGAUGUAGCCACUAUAUGCGUAGUAUGUGCUAGGUUAGCUCAAGUUCAGUACAUCAUUAGUCUAGUCAGUGCCAUGCUAGUUAUUAUCUCGUGGAUUAAUAUACUCGGAAAUUUGCCUAUUUACUCAACAGAAGAAAGCACGACAACGGAGGAGCGUGGGAAACGGCGUCUGCAUUGUUAGGAUAGGUAUAGCAUAGCGGAACUGUGGAUGCAGCCAGUGGAACAUGUUCAGCACCUGAUCACGGUCGGUGACGGACGCAUCGAGAUCGGCGAGGUGAUCGGCGCAGUCCUUUAGACGAGCAAAUAGGCGAUGAUGGAGGACGACCCUUGCUCGAUGCGCCGGUAGUCCGUGUAAAGGAAGACGAUCUAGUGCUCGCUGUUCUCGAGGAAGGGAGUGCAAAUGGUGGGUCAAUAGCUCCACUACGACACAUUUGAUGCGAAUUGGAUCCUGUGCAACAUAUUUGAUGCGAAUUGGAUCCUGUGCGAUGUUUCUCUGGCCCAAAUAGCCAAAGGCCCACUCGGGCGAUUAAAAUGGUCGUCAACGGGAGUGAGGUUAUGUUUAAGACAUGUGGGUCCUACUUGGCAGAUUGUCGACUUACGGCCCCACUUGACAGUGCAUCUACUAACGGGCCCCACUUGACAGUGCGUCUAUCCCCCCCGUGCCUGGCCUGUCUGUCUGAACCACCCGUCUGAAGCUCUAUUGCUCCCGGCGGUGAGCCGAAGACGGCGGCGGCGCUUUUGUUGGAGCAGCGGAGCUUUCGAUCUCGGCGACGGCGGCGGCUGUGGUGAGUGAAUCCGGAACCCUUGUCGAGCCCGUUCCCUUCAGUGUCAUCUCACUGCAGUUCCUGUUUCCCUCCUUUGUUUUUUUGGGCGAUUUGAUCUAGAUUUGGGUGGGGCGGAGGGGGGCUAAAGGUGAUGGAGCCUCCAGAGACAACAAUAACGUUGACUAGGUAAUAUGUGCAUCCUUUCCAUCCUAUGCGAUGCCUCGUCUGCUUCCGCUAGCUCACAGUGCGCGCCAUUGAAAAACAGGGCCGGUGAUGCUCGGACAUUUGAAUUCACUAUCGAAUUCUUUCCUUCUAAGGCGAAGCUAGGUGAUGGUAGCUUGCGGGACAUAGAGGGAGAUACUGUUGUGAAAUGGGAGGUUGAAUUAUCAGAGAUUGAUCCACAAGAACUACAGAGCAUGGAAGAGAAGGCCGUGAGGAAUGUGGUGGAAAAAUUGGGGAGAGCAUUUUUUGGGGUCCAGAGCAAGAGGUAGCAUUGUUAUGGUUUGCUAAUUGGAAAGGAGAGUAUGUGAGAAUUGAGGAUGGUGAAGAGAUGGUUGAUGAAAUCGAUCGACAAAAUGGAUGGACAACCAAACAAACUACGUUUCGUGCAGAGCUGGUUGAUCUGAAAUCAGAUUCUAAGGUUGGAUAUGUUCCCUCAAAAUUGGCUGCACAAAUGGUAGAUGAUGAUUGGGCUUCAGAGAGGCAGAUAAUGCCCAUGUGUACGGGUGAGGUGACAGUAUUACAUGAGGGGGCUGAUGCAGAUCCACAAGAGGGCUCUGAUGGUGUUGCAAGGGUUCUUUCUGUUGAUUGGAAUUCGGUUGAAUUAAAUGAACCAACUGAUUUAGUCAUUGCACCAAUGGAUGACACUGAGAUGGCCAAAUUUUUUGGCAUUCCAGUACCUGAUGAAGAUAAGGAAGAGAAUGAUAAAACUACUAACCCGCUUAUUGAUGCUCAAAGAGAUAUAUGUGAAGAUGUGGAUGGAAAGCUGAUGGAAGAUGCUGCAGAUGAUGUUGAUGAUGCACAUGAUGAUGAGUUGGUAAAUGUCUAUGACAAGGAAAACCCUGUUAUUGCAGUAGGGAAGUUGUUCCCAAACAUGGAUGAAUUUAGAAUGUGUUUCAAGACUUAUGCCGUCAAACAUGAGUUUGAUGCCAAGACGAAGUGGACUGACAGAAAAAAGUUUUAUGCAAGAUGCAGAGGUUUUGAUGGAAGUGUCAAGCCUUGCAAGUGGUACAUAUCUGCUAGACGCCAACCUAAUGGAAGUACCAUUAGUGUCAAUCAAAUCCCACACCAACAUACUUGUAUUACAAGUUCACACAGAGUAUCAACCAUGACAUCACAACUUUGGAUUGCAGAAAAGAUCACUCCUAUUUUAGCCAAGAAACCAAAUACUACUGCAAAGAAACUUAAAGUAGACUUGGAAAAGCAGUACCCAAUUAAGGUGAAGUAUAACACAGUGUGGAAGGCAAAGCAAAGGGCAAUGGAAGAAUUAUAUGGUGACUAGGCAAAUACAUUUAGGAUGCUUUAUAAUUUCAAAGCAGAGGUGGAGAAGAGGUCACCGGACAGUGUUGUGGAGAUAGAUACUGAGGUAACACAGGAAGGAAGAGUCCUUUUCUCAAAGUUUUUUAUGGCUUUAAAGCCUUGCAUCGAUGGCUUCAAGGCAGGUUGUCGUCCAUAUUUGAGCAUAGACUCAUCGUUUUUGACCGGCAAGUGGAAUGGUCAAUUGGCAGCUUGCAAUUCUUUAGAUGGACACAACUGGAUGUUCCCUGUUGCUAUUGGCUUGUUUCAGUCAGAAACAGAGGUCUCAUGGACAUGGUUCAUGAUGCAGUUGAAGAGAUGCAUAGGUCCAGUGUCACCUUUGGCAGUCCACACAGAUGCAUGCAAAGGGCUAGAAAAUGCAGUCAAGAAUGUCUUUCCCCAUUGUGAGCAGAGAGAGUGCUUCGGCCAUAUGUGGAUGAAUUUGAUCAAAAAGUUCAGAGGGGGAGAAUUUGGUCGCAUGUGGCCAGCAGCAAGAUCUUACACUAAACAGACAUAUUCAUAUCAUCUUGGUAAGAUAAUGACAACAUGCCUUGAAUUUGGUCCAUGGGUGAACACCUACCAUUCUCUAUUAUGGUAUAGGUCAGGAUUUAACACUGCCAUCAAGUGUGAUCAUAUCAACAACAACUUGGCAGAAAGUUUUAACAACAAGGUGAAGCAGUUGAAAAACCUUCCUGUGCAUGACAUGGUUGACCAAAUCAUGAUCAUGAUCAUGCGCUUGUGGGAAUUGAGAAGAAGGAUUGGUGAUUGUCUGCAAGGGGACAAGCUUCCUGCAGUGGUACAACAGGUGGUCAACAGGAGCAGAAAUCCUGCACAUUUAUCUCUGGAAAAAUCUUCUGUGUGGGGUGCUGAAGUUAGAGAUACCAAAAGUGGUAGAAGGCAUGUUGUUAACACUGAAAUGCAUGAGUGCACUUGUUUGGAGUGGCAACACACUAAGAAACCAUGUGAUCAUGCCAUACUUUUCUUGGCCUCCCGACCAAAUAUAAACAUGCACCCUUAUUUGCACGAAUAUUACUUAGUAGCAAAAUUCAAGGCUGCAUAUGGAACUCCAAUUCCAGCACUUACAGAUCAGUCUCAGUGGUCUGAAGUGGACAUAGAAUUUUCCAUGUGUCCUCCCCUAACAAAAAGAAAGGCUGGUAGGCCUAAAGAGAGAAGAUUCAAGGCAUGGUUUGAGAGAGGUGGGAGUAGUAAAAAAGGGAAGGGAAAGAAGGAUUGAAAACCAAAAAGGUCCCAGAAAGGUAACAAAAAUAGAUGCAAGUUGUGCCAGGAACUUGGGCACCGAGAUGGAUCUUCCAAGUGUUGUUACACUCCAAAAAGGCCAAAGUAUGUGUGCUAAUGUUUUUUAUGUUUACUAUUUGGCUGCAUUUUUCAAUUACAAACCAAUUGACAUGCUUAAAUUUUUUAGGAGGAAGUGUGCAGCUGAGCCCCUUGUUGUUGAAGAUUGCUGGCCAAAGAAAAGGAAAAGAGGCAAUGGUUGUAGAAAAAAGAGAAGUUAUGGUGAAACAAUGCAAACUGAGCAAAAUGAGCAAGACUUGGAUGUGCUGAAAAAUGAGCAACAAGACUUGGAUGUGUUCCAAAAUGAAGAUGUGGUCCAAAAUGAGCAAGACUUGGAUGUGCUGCAAAAUCAAGAUGUGGUGCAAAAUGAGCAAGAUAUGGAUCUGGUGCCAAAUAAUUAUCUUCCAGCUGAUGUUGUGCAAGCUAAGCCUAUAUUAGAAGUUGUGUUGCCUAACCCUGUUUUUCCAGAAGAUGUGGUGCAAAAUGAGCAAGAUAUGGAUCUGGUGCCAAAUGAUUAUCUUCUAGCUGAUGUUUGCAAGCUGAGCCUAUAUUAGAAGUUGUGUUGCCUAACCCUGUUUUUCCAGAAGAUGUGGUGCCAACUAAGCCUAUAUUGGAAGUUCUGUUGCCAACUGAGCUUGAUGAUAUUCCAGCUGAUGCAGUGAUGAAAACCAAGAGCUUGAGUGAAGUGGGUAUAGUGGUAAAGAGAAGCACUGAUAAAAAGAAGAAGAAGAAAAAGCUGAAGUGAAGUGAACUCGGUGUUGUACUAUGCUAUAGAAUAAAACUUUGCGUGAGACAAAUUUCCAGUUUGAGACAAAAUUCAAAUUUGAGCCAAAAUUCAAAUUUGAAGUUAUUUGGUAUGUGGUAUGCUGUUGUAUUUUUCAUAUGAAAUGUAUUUGUGUAAUACUAUUCAAGUUUGAGACAAAUUUCAAGUUUGAGACAAAAUUCAAAUUUGAGCCAAAAUUCAAAUUUGAAGUUAUUUGUUAUGUCAUAUGGUGUUACAAUGAUUGAUGUACUAUUACACAUGUUAGGUGAUUAAUCGGGGAACUUUUAUUAUGUGAAACUUUGGACAUGAAAAAUGUGCUCCAAAUGAGCUCCAAAACCCCCUCCAAGCCCCCCUCCAAAGCCCCAUUUGUAAGCAAGUUUUUUUUUACCUUCUCCAAAUCAGCCAAAAAAUGAAACUUGACAUAUUAGUCAUAUAGAAAGAUGAUUGGCACAAGUUUUAUAUUUUUUUGAUUUUUUUUGAAUUAGUUAUAGCCAACCCUAACUUUUGAAACACAUACAACCUUGUAUGUGAUAGCCACUUUUGUGAACAGUUUUUCAUGAAAAACUUCAUAGUCCAAGUUUACUAUUUUUCCUAGCAACCUAGUCAUAUAGAAAGAUGAUUGGCACACGUUUUAUUUUAUUUUUUUUGAUUUUUUUGAAUUAGUUAUAGCUAACCCUAACUUUUGAAACACGUACAACCUCGUAUGUGAUAGCCACUUUUGUGAAGGGUUUUUCAUGAAAAACUUCAUAGUCCAAGUUUACUAUUUUUCCUAGCAACCUAGUCAUAUAGAAAGAUGAUUGACACAAGUUUUAUAUUUUUUUGAUUUGUUUUGAAUUAGUUAUAGCCAACCCUAACUUUUAAAAACCGUACAACCUCGUACGUGAUAGCCACUUUUGUGAAGGGUUUUCCAUGAAAAACUUCAUAGUCCAAGUUUAUUAUUUUUCCUAGCAACCUAGUGAUAUAGAAAGAUGAUUGGCACAAGUUCUAUAGUUUUUUGAAUUUUUUUGAAUUAGUUAUAGCCAACCCUAACUUUUGAAAACCGUACAACCUCGUACGUGAUAGCCACUUUUGUGAAGGGUUUUUCAUGAAAAACUUCAUAGUCCAAGUUUAAUAUUUUUCCUAGCAACCUAGUCACAUAUAAUGAUGAUUGGCACAAGUUUUAUAUAUUUUUGAAUUUUUUUGAAUUAGUUAUGCUCUACCCUACCCCUUGAAAACCUCUCAAAACCCCUCAAAACCCCGACCAAACCUCUCAAAACCCAGCACCCCAUCGGACCAUUGGAUCGUCAUGAAUGGACGGUCUCGAUCGCGCAUUAGGGCUACGUCAGUAGCGAUCCGUGGCCUUCACUCUGAUUGGCUGGCCUUUUUAGCCCUCUUUUUUAUUGCUGGACGAGAAGACGCGUGCUUGCUUUGUUGGGCUUAAUUAAAGGCGGCCCACCCUUUUAUCCGUUGGACGAGAAGACGCUUACCAGCCUUGCAUGCAUGGGGACUCGCAUGCAUGCUCGUAGACCUACCUCCUCCCGCUCGCCCGUAGCCCUGCCUCCCCUCGCUCGCCCGUUGGACCGACUCUGCAUGCAUGCGCAUCGAUUGAGCGGGAGCACGCCCGACUUCAUAGAGAGCAUCAACCCGACCGACGCAGCAGAGGCACGCAGGGGCUCAGCCAUGCAGAAGCUCGUCGCCCAACCCGACCGACGCAUCAGUCAUCUUUCGGCUCGUUUUAAUUGCUCAUGUGCGACGUGUACCCUGUUUUAAUUGACCCUGUGCUACGUGGGGUGUGUACACACUCGAUGCCCCCUCGAUGCCAUGCGGUAGCCGUUUAACACUGAUGCACACCAUGGCUAGCAUCCCUAUUUAAGCACGGGUUUGAAGCACCCCCUAACAUCAUCUUCUCCCACCGUCUCCUAGUCCAUCUUCUCCUUCUUCUUCAUCUCCUAGUCCAUCAUAUUCUUCAUCUCCUAGUCCAUCUUCUCCACCUCCAUGCCGGAAUAUGAACUACUACACCGGGAUGACCUACCGUGUGCCACGCACCGUCCCCGAGAUGCUCUACCCUCCCCAAGUCCAGGUGGAGAACACCCUACGGGUGUGGGCGAUCUCGAGGUGGAGGGGUGCAAGGGCGCUCACCGAGUUCUUCCUCUCCGCCGGCUACCGCCACCUCCCCAGGGGUUCUCCGGUGAUGUUCCACGUGGAGGAGCUGACCAAUAAUGGCUAUCCUAUCGGCCUUAUUGUGAGGUUCACCAACAACGUCGAUGCUUACAACCUCCUCGGUCGUGUUUUUUGGUGUGGAUGCGAGUUUAUCGCAUUCACAACAUACAACAUCUUCACGGAUCUGGACAACAUCUUCCCCAACGGCAGCAUGCACACUCUCCCGUACCGCACCGACGGCGACGGCGAGUGAAGGAGGCCUUGGAGCUUGGAGCACCCGAUGGUGCCAUGGGGAGGAGGAGGAGGAGUUAAUUUAUCUAGUUAGGGUUUAGGGUCUUAUCUAUCUAUAUAUGUAAUCGUACUAUAUAUCUAUGUCUUACUUAUUUAUCUAUGUAAUGGUACUAUAUGUCGUGUUCAUAUAUGUUGUAUAUAUCUAUGUCUUGCUUAUUUAUCUAGGGUACCGAUUUAUCUAUGUUCUAUCUAGUUCAUAUAUGUUCUAUCUAGUUCUAUCCAGUGCAUGCAACUGAAUGCUCGCGUUCCGGUCAAAAAUAAUAAUAAUACUUCUGUAUUUGGGUACACUCUGUAUUUGGGUCUCUGUAUUUAGUGUUAGCGUGUUUUGCAAGCGUUGGCCGUUUCGGUUUCCGAGGCAGGCUGGUGUAAAUGGGGUACCCGUGUAAAUGAUGAAAAGACCACACACCAACCCACCGUCUCUUCGCACCACUCCCUCAUCUCCUCCUACACAGAAACCGCCGUCCUCUGUCUCUUCGCUCUCUCCCCCAUCUCCUCCAACACGACGCAACCUCCGGCGCCAUGGACCAGAGCAUUGCCUGGCAGAAGGCCAUGCAAGAUCUCGCCGGCAACAACCAAGAGAUCCGUGAGCAGCUUCGUGAAAUCACGGGCUGGUUCCCAAGCAUUGAGAUGAUGCGGAACCAUGCCCGUGGUCUGAUCAAGGUGAUGCGAGAGGACGAGAAGCUCCGUGCCUUCCCCCCGGCUACUGCGUCCCACCUUCCUCUGUCCUCCUUUGGGCGAUGAGGGAGGUGCAGCGUACCACCGACCCGACGCAGCGCGCAAGGUGGUGGAUGUACCGCUCAUCCAGGAUGACGGCACCGCAGCCGGAUCCUACACAUUUUGCCUCGAGGAUGGAGAGGGUGAGUGAUGUUGUCCUCGCGCUGCCGACCGCCGUCCUCGACCGUGAAGUGCAAAUCAUUCCGCCAGUCUUCACUGGCGGAAACAAGAAGAAGAAGCCGGUGGUGCGCCGCUCAGAGCACCUGAAGAACCUCAAGAAGAACUGAAGUGCGCCGUCAGGGGCUGUUACUGGUUAGGUAUGCUGCUAUAUGUCAGCAUAUAAGUUAGAACUACUUUUGGUAUAUGGAUGUAAGCUCUGGUUGGAUGAACUGUUGCUGGUGUUGGCUGUACGAACUGAUGCUGCAGUUAUUUUUUGGUGCGAUUUGUGCUAUCUUUUAUCUGGGAUGCUAUCUGUUGUUGGAUGAACUAUUUUUUAUCUAUUUGCUAUCUGUUAUAAGGUAAAUUUCUGGUGCUAUCUGUUAUGUUAUCUGCUAUCUGUUGUUGGAUGAACAACAAUCGAUUUACAUCAGUGUCUCAACCAUGAACUUUGCACCUCCACUCUGUUUUUUGAACGAGAUGCACCUCCACUCUGUUAACUGAAGAAUUGCUGCGCAUUAUGAAUUGCUGCAUUUUUUUCAUCAAUUGCUGCAUUUUAAAAUAAUCCAUUACAAACACACGCAAGUUUUGCUUCACAUAAAUUCAAAUUCAGCUAACAAAUGAAACUAGAUUGACACACUGACUGAAACUAUAACAAUUUCUAGUGAUUGAUGAACAUCAAGUAAAAGAAACCCAUAGCAAUGACACAGCAAUAAAAUGCUCCAGCCAUCAUAUUUGCUUACUGCUUCAAAUAAAUCAGUUGCUUUAGUUGCUUGCCCAUUUUCUUCAAUUCACACCCCAGUUCAGCUUGCCCAUAACAAUGACCUGAUCUGUCCGCCAAAUGGGGGGUGUGUUCCAUAGCAAGCGGUGCCCCAAAAUUGAGCCCUUCGGUUGAUCCCUCCAGUUUCAACCUCUCAACGUACUCAUCGAGCCACUCGAAAUACCCGCAUUUCCGCAGAACCUGAAAAAUAGGGGUCGGCAGCUCAUGAACUCUAGAUCCAACCCUAGCUCCAUCGCCCAAAUUUGACAAAAAAAGAAAAAAAAAUGGGAGAAAUAGACCAUACGAUUGGUGAAGUAGACAGAUCUAACCUGCCCCGGCUGUGGCCUGCUCAAGCAUUUCACGAAGUCGCGCCCACGGUUGCCAUUUUCUUUCCUCAUACAAGCCAGACGCUUCAGAGGCUCCAUGCGUGGGCAAUCGGGGCAUCUUUUAGCGGCACUGGACCGUACUUCCUCCAUUGGCGGGAGGCCGAGCUCGAGCUAGACAUCACUCACCGGCGACGCGCUUCCUCGCCGGAGAAGAGGAAGAAGAAGGUGGGGGAAAGGGAGGAAGGGCAAGCAAUGGGGGCGGGGAGGAUGGGCUGGCUCGGGUCCGGGCACGCGGAUGAGCACGACCAUGCUUAUGUGGAUAAGUUGUGGGUCCCGCACACAUGCGAGUAAGUGGUGGGUCUCAUGUUGACGUGGAUAACUGGUGGGUCCCACGUGUCAUAACUUAACCCCUUGAGUUUUGCAUUUCAUGGUUAAACAGAGCCAUGUCGCAUUGCAGCUAUUGUUUGCUUUAAAGAUGUCGCACCAGAGCAAUUUUAAUCAACAACGUCGCACUGCUUCCAUUCCGCGUCAAAUACGUCGCACAGGAGCUAUUGACCCGCAAAUGGUGGACCACACAUUGGCGGCGGUCGCACCACGCUGAUGAAUGAGGUCGAAGAUCUUGGUGAUGACGCAGUUGUAGAGCCAGGACACAAGGUGUGCAUCGUCUUGUGCCCACGCGGGGUCGGAGGCACGCGACGGACCAGUGAGGUGCUCCUGGACGACGUACUUCUGGAACAUGACCUCAAACAAGGUAUGCCAUUGGGAGAAGUUGAGAGGGGGGUGUUGGCUUUUCGCCCUCAGGAUCGAACACACGAUCAGCGCUCAUGCAAACACCGGGACCAGAACACACGCACGCGAACGCAGCAACACGAAGAUGGCCAGAGGCACGUGUCGUACCUCGUAAUAAUCUCUUUAUUGUUUUUCACGUUUUUCUGGUACAAAUCUCACACACCUUGCCUGCGUUUAUAUAGGUAUACGCAGCAGACAAAUCUCUAACACAAGCACAUACUCGUACUCCAACUUUAACUCCGACUACUACUCUACUCGGAAUGAGAUGCCAAGUCCAACCCGACAGCUUAACUUUCCUAUCUUGCUCACGUGAGCACACAAACCCAAAUAGUUUCCUAGCUGAAUAAAGCGGCAAGCUGAUCAAACUACUAGUCCUAAUCAGUAUACGUUUGGAUUACUUCAACAUUCACCCCCUAAUCCAAACACUCGACUCAUUGACUUGGAACCAACACAUCGUUUGGAUUACCAGUCCACGCUGUCACAUCUUUAGCGUGCUACAUGCAGACUAAACACAUAGCCUCUCAUGUAGGAACUCAACUUAACUGGUGCACAUCCAUCUUCAUGCUGGCCUUCGUCUUCUUGCCGAAACACACUAACGACUCAGACAUAAGAAAAAACUAAAGACACGACUCUUUUUUGUUUUUUUUUCUGCCGUGGCUUCUUCAUCAAAGCAACCCUGGGCCGUCAUCCACAUCCACUUUAGCUAGUUGCAGAAUCUCGUGCUCCUUCUUUGCCUCCUUCCGCGGAUUAGGACACUCUCGAGAAUAGUGUCCAUAGUCCUGACAAUUGUAGCAACGAACUUUAGAUUUGUCGAACUUCCGGUACUUCUGCUUAUUAUGCAAGAACAUCAACUGCUCCUCUUCUUGGUCGCGUUCACGUCCCUUCAACGUCAACUCAUAGGUCUUUAGCCGCCCGAUCACCUCCAUCACCGACAUCUUCGUCACAUCGCCCCACUGCUCGAUGGUGCCAACAAUCGGUAAAAACUUGUCGGGAACGGCUCGUAGUAAUUUCUCCACAACCGCGAUGUCUUCCAUCUUUGAUCCGAGAGCUCGCAUCUCAUUCACUAGGGAGGUUAGUUUUAACGCAAAUUCACCAACCCCUUCUGACGCCUUCAUGCUCAUCCUCUCGAACUCCCUCCUUAGAGCUUGAACACGUGCCUUCUUGACACGAUCAUCUCCAGCAUGCAUCUCCUUGAGCGCUUGCCAAGCUUCUUUUGCCGUCUCUUUCUCCGAUAUGGACAUGAAAACAGCAUCAGACACACCUUGGGCUAUGAUGGCGAAAGCUUCUUGGUCCUUUGUCUCUUCGACCGUGCCUUCACCUUCCACCGCUGCCCAAACUCCACGCGCACGCAUGAAGAUCUUCAUCUUCGCAGCCCACACCCCAUAAUUGUCACCAUCAAGCAUGGGAUACUGGAUGGUCACACCACCACCACUCGCCUUCGAAGUCGACAUGAUCCUCUUCUUAGAUUUUCCGUCGUCCGUGACACAACUUGACGGCGACGACAGCUCCACCGUGACGCAACUUGACGGCGAAGCCUCCACACCUUGCUCUGAUACCAAUUGUUGGCUUUUCGCCCUCAGGAUCGAACACACGAUCACCCAGCGCUCACGCAAACACCGGGACCAGAACACACGCACGCGAACGCAGCAACAUGAAGAUGGCCAGAGGCACGUGUCGUACCUCGUAAUAAUCUCCGGGGGUUGAGUGAGAGAACCAGGGGUACAUUUUGGUUCAUGAACACCGCGGCGAGCGGAGACUGCAGCGGUGGCGCCGAGGAGGAGGAGGCGUCGGGGUCUGGGACAAAGAGGGGUUGUUCCAGCGUGUCGUGAGAGAACACAGAUGGGUGAGCAGGGACUGGCUCCCGGCCACGGGACAAGCCAGAGUGGCAGGCGAGACUAGCGAGUCACCGGCCUGACGGGGAGGAGGAGGUGGUGGGGGUGGGGGAGGUGGGGGAGUUGGGUUCGCCAUGAAGGCGCGGUUAGACGAAGGCAGCGGAAGGGAUGUACAGACCAGCUUCUGGUACCAUGUGAGCUAGGCAAAAUGCACCUUGCGUGCUCUCGCUGUAUUGCCGUCAAUAUAUAGGGGUUGUUGUACAUGUACAUGAUGUGCGAGAGAGUGGGGCAACCUACGGGAGAGAGUGGACAUGUGCAUGACGUGCAUGGCCAUGCAGCCUAGACUAGCAACUGCUAACAAUAUCAUUGGUUUGUCAAAAAGUUUGUGUUCAGAGAUUAUGCUUCAAAAAUAUGUUCAGAUAUCCUACAAAAAAAACAGUGAGAUGAUAGCCCAAUUCUAGCUUCAUCUGCUUUGCCAAAUAUAUGAAUUUUCGAAAAAUUUGAGUGCAUUGUCACCUCAGAAAUGGGGUAUGGCUGUAGGGGAGGGGACGCGGCCAACGAUAGAAAGGAGUAGGUCAUCGAGGACUACAAUCAGCAGGGUAAGAUGUGUAUAUUUUCACACGAUCUUGAGUGUUUUGCAACAUGUAUUGCAUUUCCAGGGAUGAUCCUUUUGCUUAUUUAUUAUUUCCUAUGUUCUCUGAAGAUUAUUUUUGGCCCAUACAAUUUCCUGUGACUUGAAGUUUGAAACUGAAGAUAGGGCAUAUUGUUUUGGUUCUGAGUAGCUGGAGAUAUUGUGGCUUAAUGUCCCUAAAGCAGUCGGACCCUUCUAAGAUAGGUGUGAUAGAUCUGUGGAUCCUCUAGGCUUAGAUGAAUCCGGUAGUAUCCGUACUUUACCUUGUCCCGAACUCGAUGAGCUCCCGCCGGCGUCCAUCGUGAGGUGGUGACGACGGUGUGGAAGGAGAGAUGGGUGUGGCGUGGGUGGUGCUUCCCGCGAGCACCGCGCUAACCCUAGAUCGGAUGGGUUUGUAGGUGAGAGUGUGGCGGUGGCUAACCUCGUAAGUUGUGCCCCGACACCCCACCUUCCUUUAUAUAGCGCGGUUCACAGGGGGCCACCAACCAUAAUGGGUUGGGCGUCCCCGAUCAGGGCGCAUAGAUCAAGGUCCGGUGGGCCGUUGGGCCCACUCGGGAGGAGAUCAACUUAACAUUCUCCCCCUUGAUCUCAACUUUUACUUUUGACUUUAUACUUUCUAGUUUAUUUGUUUCAUCACAUAUAGGCAUGUAGAGCAUGUCUCAUAUCACAACUUAAUUGCCGAUAGAAUCAUACAGCUACAACACACGUUUUGUUUUGAAACAAAUUCAUUUACUUUUGGGCCUCUUAUGAUCCAGGAAUCAUAGGCUUUCCAUCAAACCCAUGUCGGCUAACUGUUCCUUGAACACACUAGGUGGUAAGCCUUUCGUUAGCGGAUCCGCAAGCAUAUACUUCAUACUUAUAUGCUCGAGACUUAUAGUUUGAUCUUGGAUUUUAUAUUUCACAACAUAAUACUUUAUAUCUAUUGUCUUGGAAGCAUUACUCGACUUGUUGUUGUGAGCAUAAAAUAUUGCGGGCUGGUUGUCACAGUAUAUCUUUAGUGGCUUGUGAAUACAAUCUACCACUUUCAAGUCAGGUAUAAAUUUCUUUAACCAUAUCACCUGCCCGGUGGCUUCAAAACAUGCUAUGAACUCUCCUUGCAUCGUGGACGAUGCAACUACGGUUUGUUUGGAGCUUUUCCAUGAAAUAGCUCUUCCAGCGAGAGUGAACACAUACCCAAACGUGGAUUUUCUAUCAUCUCUAUCUCCCACAAAAUCUGCGUCUGAGUACCCUUUUAUCUCUAGGGAAUCAUAUCUUGUGUAUGUUAGCAUGAUUUCCUUUGUGCCUUGUGCAUAACGCAAUGCUUUCUUUGCCAUCUUCCAGUGCUCUUGGCCUGGAUUUGCUUGAUAUCUACCGAGUACCCCGGUGAUAAAAGCUAAGUCAGGGCGUGCACACACUUGUGCAUACUGUAAACUUCCAACAACCGAAGUAUAUGGCACUGUUUUCAUUUCAUCGAGCUCGUACUGAUUCUUGGGACAUUGGUAAUUCCCAAAACUAUCGCCCUUGACUAUAGGAGCAUGUGUGGCUUUACACUCAUGCAUAUUGUACUUUUUGAGAACUUUCUCUAAAUAUACUUUCUACGACAGUCCUAAGACUCCAUUUUCCUGUCUCGGUGAAUUUCAAUGCCCAAAACAUAUGAAGCAUCACCAAGGUCUGUUGGGGCAUAGUUUAUGCCUAAGUAAUUUUGGUGAUUGAUGACAGUACCGCAAAGGACUAACCGUGUGUGUUAAGAUUUCAUAUAACACACGUCGACGGCACAAGACGACUCGCCCCCUCGUUCGUGGAACAGAAGCACGACGUUCUCUAUGAUUCUCUUUAAUUGAGUCAUAGGAAAGUCGUACAAUUAAGAGGGGAACCGUAGAGGAAAGCUUUGGGUGGAAUCAAUCUUUGCACGCGCACACUUUUCUUAUUUUCCCCUUGCCGGCAACUUUGGAGUGGCUCCCGCCUUUGUGUUUCCUUCGUCUUUGCAAAUGGUCGCCCAGCGGUAGUACCGCUGGUCCUAGCGGUAGUACCGCUGGAGUGCUAACGGUAGUACCGCUAGCCCUAGCGGUAGUACCGCUGGAGUGCUAGCGGUAGUACCGCUGCAGCCAGCGGUAGUACCGCUCCAGGAGCUUAGUACCGCCUACCUAGCGGUUGUACGUGGACGGACCUUUUUGCGAAGACUUUCUUGGCGGUGGUAGUGCUUAUGCACUACCAGGGGCCCAACGGUAGUACCGCUGGAGUGCCAGCGGUAGUACCGCUGUAGCCAGCGAUAGUACCGCUGCAUCCAGCGGUAGUACCGCUAGACUCGGGCUAUGAGUGGGAAAACGGUUGGAUUCCCCCCCCCACUAUAUAAAGGGUUCUUCUAGCUGUGGAACCCUAUCUCUUAUCCUCCCAAGCUCCAUUGUUGCUCCCUAAGCUUAAAAGUGCCCGAUCUCUCUCCCUAGCCAAUCAAACUUGUUGAUUCUUCAGGGAUUGGUUGAGAAGGCCUAGAUCUACACUUCCACCAAGAGAAAAGUUGAUUCCCCCAUCAAUCCCUUGCGGAUCUUGUUACUCUUGGGUGUUUGAGCAUCCUAGACGGUUGAGGUCACCUCGAAGCCAUAUUCCAUUAUGGUGAAGCUUCGUGGUCUUGUUGGGAGCCUCCAAGCUUUGUGUGGAGUUUGCCCCAACCUUGUUUGUAAAGGUUCGGUCGCCGCCUUCAAGGACACCUAUAGUGGAAUCACGGUACCUUGCAUCGUGCGAGGGCGUGAGGAGAAUACGGUGGCCUUAGUGGCUUAUUGGGGAGAAUUGUGCCUCCACACCGCUCCAACGGAGACGUACUUCCUGUCAAAGGGAAGGAACUUCAGUAACACAUCCUCGUCUCCAUCGGUUCCACUUGUGGUUAUCUCUAACCUUUACUUUGUGUUUUCUUAUGUUGUUGUCUAUCUCUUACUUGUCUUAGUAGCUCUCGUUGUUAGCUUCAUUAGGGUUCACCCCGUUGUUGUAAUAUUUGUGAACCUGUAUGUUGUUUACCCUAACUUGCUAAGUUUAAUUAAAAAGUGGUCGUUGCCUAUUCACCCCCCUCUAGUCAACCAUAUCGAUCCUUUCAAGGUCUUUCAUAUCAAAGUUUGAGGAUAAAAACUUCUUUGUUUCUGGUAGUAGACUAAUACAAUUGCUUGCAGGCUAGAUAUCAUCCACAUACAAGAUUAGGAAAAUAUAUUUCCCACUUUUAAACUUUGCAUAAUUGCAGUUAUUCUCAACAUUUUCUUGAAAUCCGAACCUUUUAAUAGUAUCGUUAAACUUUAGAUACCACUGUCUAGAGGCUUGCCUUAGUCCAUAAAUGGAUUUCUUUAGGCAGUAUCCCAUAUCUUCCUUGCCUUCCAUGAUAAAACCCUUGGGUUGUUUCAUGUAGACAUCUUCUUCUAAAUUUCCAUUUAGAAAUGUCGUCUUUACAUCCAUUUGAUGCAGCUCUAAAUCAAAAUGAGCAACUAGUGCCAUUAUGAUUCUGAAGGAAUCCUUACAAGAGACUGGAGAAGAAGUCUCAUUGUAGUCUAUCCCUUCUCUUUGUGUAAAUCCUUUUGCCACAAGUCGGGCUUUAUACUUUUCUAUAUUCCCACUAGAGUCAUACUUUGUUUUGUAGACCCAUUUAUAGCCUACUGUCUUUGCUCCUUUAGGAAUAAUUUCUAAGUCCCAAACAUUGUUGGAACUCAUCGAUUUCAUCUCAUCUUCCAUUGCCUCUAGCCAUUUUGAUGAGUGAGGGCUUUUAAUGGCUUCUUCAUAUGUGGUGGGAUCACCUUCCAUAUGAACCAUUUCUGUGUUAUAAACUUUAUAAUCAGUAGAAAUAGCUGGUCUUCUUGUUCUAUUAGACCUUCUAAGUGCCUCAUUUUCUGGCACACUUUCUACUAUUUAUUGUUGCACUUCCCUUUCAUGAUCAACAACAGGUUCAGACGGCUCCUGAAGGACAGGUUCCGGGUCUUCUCCCAUAGUUGUCAUCGUUGGAGUCACAACGGGUAGUGAGAAAAAUGGCUCUUGAAUCAUCGGAAUGGGUGCAUGCACCCUCUUCUCCUCAAGAUCAAUUUUCUCAGCUACCAAGCCCCCCCCCCUCAUCAUUUCGUCCUCUAAGAAGACCGCAUGUCUCAUUUCUACAAACUUUGUCUACCUUUCAGGACAGUAGAAACGAAAACCUUUCGAUCUGUCAGGAUAGCCAAUGAAAUGGCAACUCACUGUUUUGGGAUCUAACUUUCCAAUGUUUGGAUUAAACAUUUUGGCCUUAGCUAGACAUCCCCACACCCUGAAGUGUUGUAGGGAUGGCACACUUCCUGUCCACAGCUCGUGCGGUGUUUUGGGCACUGACUUGCUUGGUACUCUGUUGAGAAUGUGAAUGGCGGUUUUAAGCUCCUCCAUCCACAAUCCCAAUGGAAGGUCAGAGUAACUCAUCAUGCUGCGCACCAUAUCCAUAAGGGUACGGUUGUGCCUUUCAGCUACCCCAUUUUGUUGAAGGUCGCUCGACAUUGAGUACUGGGCAACUAUGCUAGUCUCUUGCAGGAACUUUGCAAAAGGUCCAGGGACUUGGCUAUAUGGAGUGUGUCGACCGUAGUACUCCCCCCACGGUCAGACCUCACUAUCUUUAUCUUUUUGUCAAGCUGAUUUUCAACUUCAGCUUUGAAUAUUUUGAAUUUGUCCAAUGCUUCAUUUCUUUCUUUGAUUGGAUAAAUGUAACCGAAGAGGGAGUAAUCAUCUAUAAAUGUUAUGAACGAAUCACAACCAUCCACACUUUUCACUGGAAAUGGCCCACAAAUAUCAGUGUGAAUAAUUUCCAGUGUUCCUAUGCUUCGGUUUGCACCCUUCUCUAUGUGUUUUACAUACUUUCCUUUAAUGCAAUCUAUGCAUUGUUCUAAGUCAAAGAACUCCAACUAAGGAAGAAUUUCACUUUUCACUAAUCUUUCUACCCCCUGGAAAUAUGGCCCAAGCGAUAGUGCCAUAAUUUCGAGGAGUCGUGAGUUCUCUUUCUUUUCUUUUGUUCUUUGUUCGACGAGGAACUAUGCUCAUUCACAUUAUUUGCAUAAUGCACUUUUUCACGAAGUGAUAACAUAUAAAGCUCAUUAUGGAGGAAGUCAUCGCCUACAUAAUCAUUAUUAUACCAAAAGGUACAUUUGCCAUGUCCAAAAAAGCAUUGAUACUUGUCUUUAUCCAAGCAUGAAACACUUAUUAAAUUCCUAUUACAUGAAGGCACGAAUAGUACAUCUCUAAGCAAAAGCUUGAAUCCUUUGGUUAGCUCCAAGGAGACGUCACCUACAGCUUCAACUUCUGCUUGGACACCAGUUGCGACUUCAAUACUUCUUUCUUUUCUGCGCAUGGUCCUCGUCGAACUGAAUCCGUGUAAAGAGUUUGCAACAUGAACAGUUGCUCCUGAGUCAAGCCAUCAAGUAGAUUUCGAAAACUUUAAAUACAGAGAUUCAUUAACAAAGGAAACGAUGCCGUUACCUCUCUUUGCCAUGAAGGCCUUUAGCCAGGCAGGGCAAUUCUUCUUGUAGUGCCCUGUCUGCUUGAAGUAGAGACAAGUGUCCUUGUCCACUUGAAUAGUCUUUUGCUGAUAAUGAGUAGGAGCUUUUCCAUAAUUUUUGCCAUGUGGCUUUGAGGGAGAACCUUUGUUGGGUUGGAAAACCUUUUUAUUUUUCUUCACAUAGUUCAGGGAGCCACCAUGUGAAGCUUUGAUUCUCUCCUCUUUGUGUGAACAUAUGGCUAUGACCUUUUCUAUGUUCAUGUUUCAGGCUGCAAGUUGUAGUUCACAACAAAGGUUUCAAAUUCCUUUGGCAGCGAAGCCAUGACCAGGUGGACGAGGAGAGCUGGUUUGAUCUCUAGAUCCGCGUCCAUGGGCUUGAGCUUGGCUGCCGUAUUGCUCAUCCGUAGGAUGUGAUCUCUUAUGCCAUGGCCACCUCCAAUGUAGCUCUCUGUGACCAGUUGUUUUAUCAACUGGGUGACAUAUGUCUUUGAAGAGCCAAUGAACUGACUCUUUAUCUUGGUUAGCAUCUUCCUUGUGGAAGUGCACUCUGCAAUUGAGCUCACAAUGGUGGUCUCAAUUGUGUUCUUUAUAAAUGCCAAACAUUUUUUGUUGGCAUUUAUCCACUUUCUGUUGUUUAUGGAGUAUGACAUCUCCUCAUUGGCACUAUCCCACUUCUUUUUCUCCCAAGCAUCAUCAUCAUCAUCAGCAUCUCUGACUGGGUCUGGAGGUGCAACCGGCUGUGGUUCCUCCAGAACGCAGUCCACCUCAGCAAUGACGAGAGCCAUGUCAACUUUCUUCCUCCACUCAGAGUAAUUAUCACCUCUGAGUGUAGGAACAUCCUUGAGGCAACUCAUUCGGUGGAAACCUCCUGAAAUCACAAUUUAAGCGAGAUCAGUACGACAAUUAUAUGCAUUAAUUAUCGUUGGUUAAAAUAAACAUACAAUUGCCUAUGCAAAUAAAUCUACAUUACCGUUGGGAAAAUGAUAGAAAUAAAUGCACCUUUUAUGCCAAUAAUGCAACAAGAUUAUGUUAUUAACAACGUUGGUCAGAAAAAUAACAUAACCAUAUUUCAUAUAUCGCUUAGGAGCGGAAAUGUGAAUUUAAAAAUUCAUGUACUUUUCUACUUUACAGAAAAAAUAUUUUGUUAUAAUUUAAAAAAAUCAUGAACUUUAUAAUCCCUUUUAUAAAAUCCAUGAACUUUUCUUUUUCUGAAAAUCUCCUUUUAUUUUCGGAAACAUUUAUUUUUCUUUGCAGAAAAAUUAAUAUUUCUUUUCUGUCUAUUUUUACAAUAACUUUGAACUUUUCCUUUUCUAUUUUCUUAGCAAGAUUUUCAUCGAAAAAUAGUGCAUAGAAUGAACAACUUUGAAAUCUGCCUAAAAAUGCCUAGAGAAACUGAACAAAAAUGGCAGAAACUUUUUAUAAAAAAAGAAAGACUUCGGCCGAAAUCGGCCUAGCCUAGCCUCGGCCCGGCAGGCCAACCCUAUCCAGCCGGCCUCGCCUCACUGGGCCUUCCCAGCUCCCGCCGGCCCGUGGCCUCGCCUCGGCCUUUAGCACAGCCUAUCGAGCCGACCUCGCCCCACUGGGCCUUCUUAGGCUCGUCCUGGCCUGGGCUGGCCUUCGCUCCCGCCGGCCUAUGGCCUUUCUUCGGCGCGGCUCGCCUCUCCCCUUCGGCCUGUGGCCUCUCUGCCUUGGCCCAACUGGCCCACGCCACCUAGGGUUUAGAAGCUGCCGUCGGAUUUCAUCUGAUGGUCCAGCGUGCCAAUCGGGAGUAUAAAGGGGGCGAGGGAGGAAAAACCCUAGCCAUUUUCUCCCUCCAGCGCCGCUCUCUCUCCCUCCUGUCUCACGCACGCAGCAUAUUGGCGCCGACGCCGGUCACAAGGGUAGCUGCGCACCUCGUGCUCGCCCCUCUUGCCGUGGCUGCCUUUAGCGCUGCGGCCUUGAGCCGGCCGCCGGCAGCGGCGACCAUGGCUCCCUCGCCGCGCGCGCCAUGCUGCUCUGCCGCUGGUUCCCUCCCCCUCGCGAUGCGGGCUUGAGCUGGCCGCCGUCAGCGGCGACCAAAGGUCCCGCGCCGCGCGCGCCAUGUUGCUCCUUCCUCUCCUCGGAGCCAUGGCCUUCCCCUCGCCGGCUGCGCACACGCCUUGCGGUGGGUGCGCCGCCGUCGAGCGGUCGGCUGCGGAUCCCUUUUUCUUCCUAGUUGUUUUGCCGUCCACCACCAUGACCAGAGAAACCCCCGGCUGCGUGACGCGACGGCGCCAUCGCCGUCCUGUUUGCCGGCGUGUACGAGCACCUCUAGGGUGAACGCACUGUUGUCAAACGGCUCGGUGGUGGCGCCCUUUGCCCCUGUGGGGUUAACUUUCUUUGCAUGUUCCCCUUUUCUUUGCAUUUUUUUGCUUUCCUUUUUCGGAUCCAAUCAGAUUUAUUCUUUGCCUCCGAAGAGGUAGGUUCUUCUUCCCCAUACCUCGGCUUGCCGAUGCGUGUGGGACUCGAGAGGAACAGGCGCGGCCGAGGCGGCUCUCUUUGCCGGAGAGGGCUCCGAUGAAGCUUUCUUUUUUCCUUUGAACUUUGCCCUUGUAGGGUUCAAAUCGGGGAUGGGGAAAUCUAUUUGCUUUCGUUUUCUUUCAACCGAAACGCAUAUAAUGCCUAGUUGCUCAUGAUACCAUUGAUAUAUCCGUGGAUCCUCUAGGCUUAGAUGAAUCGAGUAGUACCCGUACUUUACCUUGUCCCGAACUCGAUGAGCUCCCGCCGGCGUCCAUCGUGAGGUGGUGACGACGGUGUGGAAGGAGAGAUGGGUGUGGCACGGGUGGUGCUAUCCGUGAGCACCACACUAACCCUAGAUCAGAUGGGUUUGUAGGUGGGACUGUGACGGCGGCGAACCUCGUAAGUCGUGCCCUGGCACCCCACCUUUCUUUAUAUAGCGCGGGUCACAGGAGCCCAUCAACUAUAAUGUGUUUGGCGCAUAGAUCAAGGUCCGGUGGGCCGUUGGGCCCACUCGGGAGGAGAUCAACUUAACAAGGUAAGGCUGAUUUAUUCAGCAAUUCUUGCACCACAGUACAUGAAAAGGAACAUGUCUACCUAUCAACACCAUUUCUUGAGGAGGAUUGUUGUUUCCCCUUUAUUUUGUCACACCUUUCAUGAGGUGCAGUUUUUCUAGGUCACUGUACAUACGAGGCAUCAUUGCACUUUUAGAUAGUACAUUAGCGCUGAUGGUGCUAUCUUGAAUAUCUACUUUUGCAUUUUUCAAUUUUCUAUUAUGCUAUUUAUUAUGUCAUAGAUUAUGACUUUACACAUGUAAUGCUGAUUUCAGAAUUUCCCUUGAUUUGUUUCGCAAAUGUUUUGAGGGAGUGUUGCGUAUUAGGAAACCCCUUGGAUAGCUAAGCCGUUGCUUCAGCUCACUAAUAUAAACAUAUAUUUCCAACAUAAGAUCUUUUGGGAUUGAAGUUCUGAUGAGAAAGUAGAUACAGAUUGAUGGACAUGAGCUAUCCGUGCUUCACGCUGGACAGCUUCUCAGUAACUCUUUGUGAUUUACUUGCACUGUUGUUCUUUGCAAAAUUGUUCUUUGCAAUCCUAAAAUGGUUUCUCACAAAAUGAAAAAAAUACAUUCUAAAAAUGUAGGCACACGGAGUGAAGCGCAUAUAUAAUUCUAUUAUAACAUAGAUCAUGUUUGCGUGUAUCGAAAGUCUAUUCGUCAUCCAAUAUGCAGAAUAAGUUAUUCCUCACCAAAGAUAAUGUUAUGAUCGUUUCAUAAGUAAAUUACAUUUGAAAUACAAAUAAUUACAUUUAUAUUGAUUCACUAUGUAAAUUUUACAUAAAAAAUAAAAAUAUAGGUCAUAUGACCAGAAAAAUUACAUUUCGUGUCUAUUUUACACUAUGUUAUUGUGUUUAUAAUUUUACGUGACAUAAAAUACUUUUACGGUGACUAUUUAUUUUCUUAUGGUCUCUUUUUACGUAUGAAGUAAGCCAAAAUUUAUGAAACAUAAAAUUAUAGUGCAUUGCUGUUAAAACAGAGGGGGUGAAGAAUAACUAUUCCUCGUCCAGGGUGACGAAUAGCGUUACCCUAUAUAUAUAUAACCAGUUUAUUAUGCUAAUAUUAAUAUUAGCAGAAUAGUUAUUCUGCUAACAUUUCUGAAAAGCACGCUCAAUGGUAGUGCACUGCAUUCCUAUCAAAACGAGCACUGCAAUGUCAAUAGAAAAAACUACACGCGUUUUUUUGACAACGCUUUGGCUCAUGUGUUAUCGGAACAAGGCGUAUAAUGUACCGUUGUAUUGCUACGGAAAAUUCCCAACUUCGUCAUGUUGAACACUUUUCGAGAUUCUAUGCGGUUUGUGAGCAGUUUUGAAAAUAGUGGGCGCAUGACGGGCCGUGCGACUUUUCUAAACCGCUCAUAGAAAUGAAUCAAACGAUAUGGCAUUGGAAAGAUAUCGUCAAGACACAUCUUUUUCAUGUAUAUUACUCUCUCUAAUUCCUUAUGAUUUGAGAGUAAUUUCAAAUUUACUAAAAACAAAAUUUUAUUUUGCAAUUUUUUUAUUUUUUCUGUACGUUUUUUUCCUGCAGUUUUUAAAGCAUUCGGCGGAACGACGCGUAUGAUACGGUGUUCAAAAGUUCUGGAAUAGAUGCAACUUUCAUAUGUUAGCCAUUUGUUGAGAUUUCUCGCGGUUUUACAUGAUUUUGAAAACGUUGUGGCUGCGGCAUCACGUUCAUAAGCAAGUAGACUGACUAAAGCAUGCAUCUACUACUAUUACUCCACCCAUCAACCGAUAUCCAAAAUGCAUCUAGAGUAUUAAGUAAAAUAGAGUAAUUCUUGGAGAAUAAUGACAUGAUGUAGACAAAGAAAAUCAAAUUAAUAUGAAUCAACCCCAUCAUUUUAUCCUUAGUGGCAGAAAUACGAAUAUGUGUCUUAUCCCCUACUUUGUCUAUAUGAUAGAGCACCACAAGAUUGAACCCACUACAACACAACUUUCUUAUUGAAGAUAGAUCAAUCUAGUUGGCAACGAAAUCAAUAGGUCAGAGAGAAUUAUGAAGCUAUAAUGAUCAUGCAAAUAAGAAUCACAUAGUAAUUCAGAGAAGGCUCAAAUAUUUUUCAUCAAUAAUCUGAACAUAAACCCACAAUUCAUAGGAUCGCAACAAACGCACCACACAAAGUGAUUAAAUCGAAUAGAUCAUCGUGAAGAUGCGAUGGACUUUGUAUUGAAGAAUGUAGAGAGAGAGCCAUCUAGGUACUAGCUAUGGAUCCGUAGGUUUGUGGUGAACUACUGACACAUCACCAUGGGAACAGUAAGGUUGAUGUAUGAGGCCCUUCGUGAUCGACCCCCCUCCACUAGGACACUGGAACAGUGCUCGAGAUGGGCACACGACAGAAUAGAGACUGGCAGGAGCAAAAACAAUUAUUUUGGGAGAUCCCUGGGGUUUUUGGAAUAUAUGAGAAUUUAUAAACCAGAGUACGAGCUUAGGAGAGCCGGGAGGGGGGCACAAGCUAACAAGGUACGGUCGCACCCCCUAUGCGCGCCCUGUUCGCUUGUAGGUCCCUCGUGCAGCCCAUGGUCUUCUCCCAAAGCUUCCAAGUAUUAUUUUGGUCCAGAAAAUAUCAUCAAAAAGUUUUGGGAUAAUUAUAUUUAUGCCCCUAGUUAUGUUCCACUCGGCUGUUUUACCCCUAAUUUUCAAAAGUCCCCAGUUCUAUCCAAGCCACCUCGCUCCUCUUAUGCUUUUGCCCUUUGACUGUUUGACCAUCCGUUGAAAAACUUCAUAACUAAUUCAUACUAAUUCAUAAAAAUGCAAAUAAGAUACCAAAAUGUUCGUAAAAACAUCACCUAUAUGUCAAUGUCAUUUGCAUUCAUGACAAAGGUGUUGUAAAGUGCCCAUCCAAAUUUUACCUCUUAUGAUACCACCAUGAAUAGUAAAAUAUAAAAAAAAUCAAAAC
RNAcentral lists this long non-coding RNA (52382 nucleotides) under Hordeum vulgare. Its description in RNAcentral is "long non-coding RNA (HVUL_LNC001010)". Lineage: Eukaryota; Viridiplantae; Streptophyta; Magnoliopsida; Poales; Poaceae. The record is from RNAcentral.